RNAcentral lists this long non-coding RNA (54739 nucleotides) under Solanum lycopersicum (tomato). RNAcentral's name for it is "long non-coding RNA (SLYC_LNC001205)". The stretch from base 54466 to 54661 matches the Rfam family "U2 spliceosomal RNA". The record is from RNAcentral. Lineage: Eukaryota; Viridiplantae; Streptophyta; Magnoliopsida; Solanales; Solanaceae.
GGGAAUUUUCAUGCUGUUGAUCGAUAUGGUGAGACCAUGAAAUUUGAUUCCUCGUUUAGUGAGACGACGGUGGCUUCCAGAUUUUAUGGUGAGACCACGAAAAUUGAUUCCUCGUUUGAUGAGGAGGUGGCUUCCAGAUUAUCCGGUGGUAAGAAGAAGAAACGACUGGUGGAAUCAGGAGGGCAGUUGUUUUUGGUUGAUAAAAGUUCAGAUUUCGGCAAGGAUGCCAGCCAUGAAAUUAAAAUUUACCGAUUGGAUGAAAAACAAUAUGAGUGGAUUGAAGUGCAUACUUUGGGUGAUCGAAUUUUCUUUGCUGUUAGUGACUGUUGCUUCUCUGUUUCAUCGCGUGAUUUUGGUGAUAAGUACGGUAGAGGAAACUGCCUUUACUAUGCAAAGGGGUCGAUGUAUUUUAACGAUGAAGACAGUGACGAUGAUUUUGGUAUGUGUGGUUGUUGUUGUCCUCUUGAUGAUGAUGUUGUUGGUGGUGAUGAGAUUAGCUACCCUAUUAGCAAUUAUGGUGACAGCACCAGUAUUAGCAAUGGUGAUCACAGGAUUAAUGCUUCUACUAGCAAAUCAGGUGAAGUAGUGGUAGAUAGAUACAAAGGAGUAUUUGAUGAUAACACCUAUGUAUUUACCAUAGAAGAUGGUAAACUUGGAUCGCUGUUAUCAUCCCUUGAUUAUGCAGAAAUUUUAUGGCCACCACCAUCUUGGCUUAACGGUGAGGAUGAGCCUCAUCCACAUGAUCAUGUAAGUCUUCAAAGUUGUUUCAUUUUUUUAAAAGUGUUUGGCCUAAUUGUAACUUGUCACUCAAACAGGAAAUUGCAGAGUCGUUAUUAUCUAUACAUAAACAAGGAUGAUACAGCAAGAGAGAUCAAGUAUUGAAGAAGAGAUGCAAGAAUCCAUUUGCUCUGUGUACUUUCUAAGUUGUCGUUUCACCUUUAAUUGCUUUUGGUAUUGCUUUUGCUUCUUUUUUGUCUUAGUUAAUGACUAAUGAACAGAACAUUUUAGGAACUUCGUUUGGUAUUAGUUUUGCUUCUUUUGUGUUAGUUAAUGGCUAGAGUUUGCACAUUUACAUAGCUAUAGUUUUAACGACUAAAUCGAUUUGCGUUUGUAUAUUUCUACUUUAACUGAUUAUACAGUUUAUUAAGUUCUCUUUUGAGUCAUGAAGAAGAAAGCAGAUGAACAUGAUCGUUUUGUUUUAAUUCUUCUUCUGGGAGGGGAGGAGAGGGAGAGGCCUAGGAAACGACUGUAAUUAACCAUCCCGUGAAUAAGGAACUCAGAUUCGCACUUCUGUAGGUCCACCAGAACAAGAAUAACAGCUAUUCAAAGGAAGAUGGAGAAGUAGAGAGAUAUACAUUAGAAUGGAAUGACCCUUUCUUGAAAUGAUUCUCGCUAUUGGGUUCUUAUGCAUAGUUUUUCUUCUAUGCAUUCACUUAAUUAAAUCACACUGAUUAUCCAGCUAUUGGACUACAAUUACAUUUUUCUUUAACAAGGACUAGAAUUGCAUUAUUAGUAACUAGGUCGUGCAUAUAAUGCAAAGAAAUAUACAUGAAAUGAAGACCCAACAUAACUAUGGAUGGGAAUCUUUUACAACAAAGAGUUCCUGUUCACACACAGUUAUAGCCUCACAUGUUUUAAGCAGAUAAAUGUUUCUUCACCGCACUACCUGAUUGAUGAGCAAAGUACUUUUGCCUUAGAAGAACAUAAGGGUAUCCAAAGAGUGACAGCAAAUGUGCAGGCUUCGAGAAGGAAAGUAUCUCGUACCAAACUAGAUCAUUUUCGUCCAAUGCUAUUGAAAAACGUUCUUCACCAGCCUGCUCAAACACUUGGUAUCACAAACUCAUAUAUUGUCAAGUUUUACAUGCAGCAAUAUAAAGGAGAAUGAUAGGUCUAAGAUGUAUGGUAAGCUUAAAACUUCAAACAUGGAAAAUAGGACAAAACAUUACCAUUCUAGUAAGCAUUGUGUUGGACUUAGACACUACCACUACUAAUAUUAACCUUUUGCAAUGGCUGGGUUAGCAGCUUGUAAAGGAAACAUAAUCUUAAAUCCUUAAUGUUUAUUUUAUAUAGCUAGAUUGAAAUGAACCUAAUGAUAUCAUAACCAGAAAACCUGAACAGUUGAAAGGUAUAGUGUAAGACAAACAAUUGCAACAAGGAGAGCAAACUGACCAGCAAAUGUCCUUGCAGAGUUCCACUGCCAAAACUAAACGAAGCCCCCUUUUUCGAGUUCUUGUUCUCGCUAACAUAAACAACCUGUAGAGGCAUCAUAAGCCACGGGAAGAACUCCUUCACACAAACACAGAACUUUGUCCCACUUUGAAUUUGAGCUUUUGGAUCAACAAACGCCCAAUUCAAUCCAAAAUGCCUGCAAAGUUAGUUUGGUACAUAAUCAGACCAUUGAUCGCAUGAUAUUUCUACAAGAAUAACUGAUAUACCAAACCUCCAAUUUUGAAGGGCAGCUUUUCCCUUUUCAAAAGUCUCACGGCCUGAACCGACUAAUACUCGAGCACAAUUAACAGAGAAACCAUCCUUUGCAAGCUCACUGUCUUGCUUAAGUAGAGGAGCAGGUUUCUCAGUAGUUCCUCUAAAUCUUUUAUCAUAGUUAAAGGAACCAGACCUGUUACAGACGAAACCCUCAAUAAUGAUUCCCACAAUUAAACCAAUAGAAAGGGAAAUAAAUAAAUUACUCAUUCUAUUUCAAUUUGUUGAGUUGACACAGAGUUUAAUCUUAAAAUAAACAUACGUAGAGUGUCCCAAAACGAUGUAGCGGUCUAGAAUCUCUGGUAAACGGAUUAAAAAGCAAGAUAAGACAAAUAAAUUGGAACGAAGCCAGUAACAAGUUCUGGGCAUUCUUUACUUGUUGAUACAUGCUUUCUGCUCUUCAGGAGAUGGACGCGUCCAGCUAAGAAAUACCAUCAAGUACUUAACCUGUAAAGAAUUCACUAAAUUUUUCUGCUAAAGAAAAAUACGAGCAUCAAAAACGAACGUAGAAAUUAUUCAUGAUUGGAAUAAAUAGGAGCAGAGAAGAGGAGUAUGAGAUCGGAAAAAAUCUUUACCGGAGAGUCCACCGCCGGCACUGAGGUAACAGUGGCAGUGAGCCGAUGAAGAUGAGAGAUUUGGAAUUGGGGUUCUGUACUGAUUAACUGAUUAGGGCACUUAUUUUGUAUUGAAAUUUUUAAACAUAAAAUUAAAAUGAAACAAGUCAAAUUUGAGUUUUAUAAGCUAAAUAGUACACACUAUUUUAGGUUGGUAUUUGUAAUCAAUAUUUCAGUUUGAUCUCGCAUGAUUUACCUCGAGGAAUUAAUGUUUAAAAAGAAUGAUCUACUAUGACGAGUUUAAAUUAUUAUUUUUUUAAAUUAUUGUGAUUCUAAAUUAAAAUUGUAAUGUAUCAAAAUAUUCUUUAAUUUUGUGAUCUUAAACGUAAAAAGUUAAAGUUAAAAUGUUAUAAAAAAGAGAGAAAAGAACCAAUCUUUUUAAAAUAGAUUAAAAAGAAAAUAAAAACAAAAGUAUUUAAUUUGAGUCAAAAUAAAUUUAAUUUAAUUUAAUUUUUUGAUAUCCAAUUAGAUCACAAAAGAUAACAUAAGUAUGAUAUAAUUAAAUAGUUAUACUUUAUAAAAUUGUUUUUUUCAAUAUCAAAAAGUUAUAUUUGACUAACCAAAAAAAUAUCAAUUAUUGAAAUAAAAUAGAAAUGUUGACUUUUUAAAUGUGUUUCCUAGAUUCAAUUCAUACGAUUGAAAUAAUAUUUUAUAUAAUAAUUAUACAAAUACGUAUUUGAUGAGAUAACUUUAGUACCCUCUCGUCUCCUAAAAAGCAAAAUGCAACAUGCUAACAAAAAUAUACUUGCACGAAGACACAAACUUUUCUAAAAAGGAAAUAAAGUCAAAAACACAAUUUAUUUAUUUUUUUCGUUCGAUAUUCAUAUUUAAAUUUAACUAAUUUGAGUUUACACCAUAAGCCUCAUUUGUGUUAACACUCAUACCAAAGAUUUUUUGCAUAGUUAAUAAGUGAGGAUUACGCAAGCCUUGUAAGGAGUCCAGUCAUCUCGUUAACCAUCAAUAUAGAACUUUCGUUAUUUUUUAACACUCCACCUCACGCUCAGUGCUUAGCAUCUAGUGCAUGUGCAAUUUUUAUUUUAGGGAACCCCAACAUUGGGUGAGACGGACCCUGCUCUGAUAAUAUGUUAAAUUAGGUCUUAGAUCUAACUCACACCCCAAAAGUUAGCUCAAAGAAAGAAUGAUUGUCUAAGCCUUAUAAAAAGUUCACUCAUAUCAUUAACUAUCGAUAUUGACUUUUGUCAUUAUUUAACAAAGUCAAAUAAAAAUAUCUAAUUAAACGACAAUAAUCUCAAUUACUUUGUUGCACCAAGUCCCUUUAACAGGUAAAAAAAGAAGACCAUACACGAGAGACUCCGAUUUCCUUCGAUUGGAGAAAGUCGAAAGAGUUGCUAUCUAUGUAUAUAGGGAAUUAGGAAACAUUAUCAUAUAUAUAUGAUUAUCCUUUAAUUCGGGCAUCGGCAACCCAAACAAAUUUGGUGAUAGCACUUUUUAAGAGUAAAUUAACUCCAAUUCACUGUACCAAAUUUUAUACCAAAAAAAAUAUUUUUUUCUCUCUUUACUAUUAUAUUAUUAUUUUUUAUUUUAUUUAUAUUUUUUAUUUCUUACAACAAAUUCUUUCUAAAACAUUCACCCUAUAAUUGGGAAAAUGCAUAAGUACCCUUCAACAUAUGUCUGAAAUCUCAGAGACACACUUAUACUAUACUAAGGCUUUUAUAGGAUCUUAGUAUAGUAUAGGUGUGUCUCUGAGAUUUUGGACAUAAGUUGAGGGUGUAUUUGUGCAUUAUUCUUAUAUAAUUCAUAUUAUUUUCUUUUAUAGUCGUUUAAUGUAAAGUUAUUUUAUACCAUGAUUUUUUAAUUAAUAUAAAUUGUUAGCAAAGAUCAUACAUUAUACAUAAUAAUGGAUAAUACAAAUAAAAGUGAAAUCAUUAAUGAAAUAAAAUUAAAUAAAUAUUACACAAUUGAAAAAAUUAUUUUAAAUUUUACAUAAAUAUUUAACUUUCAAGAUCACUAUGAUUCUCUCAUAAAUGCUUUAUUAAUGCAGUAUGUUGUUUAAAAUGAAUUUCUUUCUCAUUUAUUAUUUAUGUCGAGCUAGAAAUUGUUAAAAUUAAUAAUUUUUAUCUAUUGUCAUUUCUAUAGUCGGAGUUAGACCUUUCGAUGCAUCUUGAAAAAUUAAUUUAUAAAAAAAACUGAUUUUUAUAUCUAAAAUCAAUAUUACAUAAAAAAUAAUUAAAUAUAUCAAAAAUUUAAUUAAAAUAUAUUAUUUCUAUACUAUUUAAUUAAAAAAAUUGUAUAAUAAAAUAAUAUUAAAAUAUGUAAUAAAAUGAAUUGGUGUGAUAAAUAACGUUAUGUCAAAUUUAACGUAAUAAUAUUCACACUAAAAUAGUGUGUAAUCUAAUGUCGGGGUGAGGCACCAAAAAACUAAAUUUUACGCUAAAUGAAAAUUUUAUGUAAAAUUUGAUGCUAGGUUUGAAAUAGUUGAAAUGGUUAACCCUCUUCAUUUUUCACACGUGGGACUUUUGCUAAAAUAAAAAAAGAAAAGAAAAGUAGAAGAAGUGUUCCUCAUAAGGUGGGACGUGUAAAUGACAAUCCUUUAAUUAUUAGGUGAAAAAUAAAGAAGGUGCUACUCGAGAUAAUGUACCAGCUACUCCCCUAGUGCCUAGUCCCCCUUUUCUUUUCUUUUCUUUUUUUUUUAAAAACUCCUUUCUAUUUUUUUUUAAGUUAAUUUUAAAAAGAAUGAUUUUUUUAGUUAAAAAUUUAAUUUUAAUUUUUUCAUGACAUGUUAAGAUCACAAGAUUAAAUGAUAUUUUAGUAUAUUUUAUAUUAUUUCAAUUUAGGAUCACAAAAUUAAAAAAAAUUUUCUUUUUUAUUUUAUAUUAAAUCAAAUUAGAUCAUUCUUUUUUAAACGGAUGAGAUAUUAAUUAAUUUAUUAAGGAAAUUAGUUAGCUUUACAUUUUUUUCAAAAGAGCAUUAAUGUACUCUUUUCAUAGAAAAAGUAUAGUUGAGCUGUGUACUCCAAAAGUUUCAUGUCUCUAUUCCAUUUUCAUCUCAACCAAUAGGUAGUUGCUUCAGUACUGUCAUGGACUAUAAUAUAAGAUUAAAGAUAUCUCCAAGUAGCGUGAUAUUCAAGUCCAUUACGACUAAACUGCAGUUUUGGUGAAGAUGAAAGAGAAGAAGAUGAAGAAGCUGUAUUCUUGGCCCAUAUGGGCUGAUCUUCCUGAAGAACUACUUGUUAAGAUCAGUAAGUGCCUCAAAUAUUCAUUUCAAGUUGGUCAUUUUCGUGCUGUUUGUACCUCUUGGAGAUCCGCAGUUCCAUUAUUUCCCCUUCAUAAAAGACUCUCCAUUGUCCCUAAAUACAUUGGCAGUAAAAAGCCUCAAAGUAAAUGCAUGAAUAGGUUCGUUUUCCGGCUUGAUCUUCAACAACUUCCAUCACCAUCACCGUCACCCACCAGUUAUUUGAUAGCUGUGGCGGAACAAUUCAACGGAGACGGCCAAAGCCAACUCCACCUAUUGAACCCUGUCACUGGAAGUCCUAUUCCUAUCUCCUCAUCACCAUCAAACUUGUUGUUUCCAAGAGAGAUUAAUUUGAACAAAUUUCGCGUCUCUAUACUGCAUAAAUCUUCCUUGAUGUUUCAUCCACACACAAAUCGCUAUCUUAUUGGUAAAGUUGUUUAUCUUUCCACUCUCCGACAAUCCUCUGACGGACGUAUUCCGAAAGCAGCUGCUGUUCUUGGAAGUGGAAAGGUGUCUUUGUUUACAAUUAAUACAAGAGAGAGAGUUAUCUUAAAUUAUUUGAUGGAUGGUCUUGUUAGAGACCAUAACCUGAAAAAGCCUUUUUAUCAUGAUGUGGUGAAGUAUAAGGAGAAAUGGUUCGCUAUUGAUCAAUAUGGGCGAGGAGUUAUGGUGGAUUGUUGUUCCAAAGUGAGUCUAGUUACAAAUCCUCUGUUUCAUCCAAACAGGAACGGUUACUUUCGUAAGCACCGAUCAUACUUGGUGAAAUCAUCAGGGGAUGCAGAUCUAUUUCUAGUGGACAGGUACUUGGACAAACCAUCUGAGCAAACAAAUUACGCUGAACAACAUGCUGCAACCUCUGAUGAUGAUGCAAAGCAACCAGAAUACGAUAUGGAGGUUAGAUUCAGAGUGUAUAAAUUUGAGGAAGAGGAGCAUUAUUGGAAGGAAGUUACAAACUUGAAUGACCAAGUCAUAUUUGUUGGAGAUGAUGCAUCGUAUUGGUCCUACUGUGUGUCUGCUAAAGAUUUUCCAGGGUGCAGAGGAAAUUUAGUUUACUUCAUAGAUCAAUUCAGGAAAGCUGGGGAUGGAGAUCUCCAUGAUUUUUGGGAUGCGCUAAAACAUGAAAAUGACUAUUCACUUGGGGGAUUUGACAUGGAGAACGCGUUUAUUGGGCCAAUGGCAUGUUUCCCCGGUUACACUGAUUUUUUCUGGCCACCUCCUAGCUGGCUCAACUGAGAUUUUCUCUCCAAUGACAUUUACUCCUAUGAUCCAUUUUAUGUGUUAGUCAAAAAUAUUAUGUGAAAAGUAUUGUAUGUCACUGCUUUUUCAGUAAAUUCUAGACAAAAGUCAUUUUCGUUUAACUCAAUAUUUGCUCGCAACCAUUUUUUUUAGUUGGCUAACUAGAAGGUUACCUACAUAUCCGGCUAUCAUAGCUUUAAUCCAAACUCUAUAGUAAUAUUUACAAAACUUAAAUUCAGAAUCAAGAAUCCAAUUACUAACUGAAGGGUAUCUAUCACUUCCCUCAAAAAGAAAAUCAGAUGGGAUGGGACAAGAAUGUAGAGUAUGAAUGGACAAUCACAGAAACACUAGUGUUGUGCUUUAAUGCCCCAGAAAAAAGAGUGCACAAAAAAGCAUGCACUAUGCCUAAUAUAUAUAACCGCAUUGAUUCUUCGCACCAAACUCAUGAGUGUUCACAUGUUUCCCUCUUACCCUGUGAAAAGCUCCCAGAGAAAUUAACGUUUAGAGUGUCUCUUGCUAUCACUCAACACAUUCACAUGUUUCCCAUUUACCUUGUGAGAGAUUCCAGAACAAAUUCUCUGCAGAAAUUAACAUUUGGAUGAUUUAUCUAAUGUUACAGUUCAACGCAUAAUUUUCUAUUUUGUUAUUGAUGAUAAAGAAAUUUGAAAUCAUGGUCUCAAAGUAGUUAGAGUUUUUUUUUGUUCAAAAAACAAUGAACAAGUUGAUUCUGCAUAGAAGAAGGAAGUGGGUUUGCCAUUGGAAGUCCCAAUAACAUACUGAUAGACCCGUAAACUACUUGAUCUAACUACGUGCAGAUAUAUCAAGGACUUAGGCAUUGGUCUUGACAUGAAUGAGGGCAAAAUAGUGCAACACAGGUUCAAGAUGCUUGGGUGUUGGCAAGGCAACUUGAACAUGCAAGGCUUACGUGCGGGCUAGAGUCAUCGGCAAGGCAGCGUGUUGGCUUGACAAGACAAAGCUGUGAAGACUUGACGAUGGUAAAAACAAAGGCAUUUCACGUGAAUUGCUGAGAUAAAACUAAGUGUUGGAGGGCAGCUAAAAUAUUCUAAGUGUUGGAAGCUGGCUGAAAUAUUCUAAGUGUUGGAAUGUAGCCUGAAAUAUUCUAAGCGUUAGAAUAUUAAUAUUUCGUGUGGAUAAAGAUGUAAUUUGGAUUAGAUUCUAUCUGUUAGAAAUAUAGCUGUUGAAAACAUAGUUUGAAUCCUGUGAUGACAAGUGUCGGACAUGUGUCAUUUGUAACUGCCGCAUGUAACUGCCAUGUGCAGAAAUUUUACUAAGGGUGGAAAUUUCGUUUAAGGCAUAGUGGGUGUUCUUGGCCUUCGACAAAUUCGUGAAGCCUUCCCUUUGUAUUAAUUAUAAGGUUAAUAAAUGUUGGGACGAGUUCGUGUAUAUUCUGGCUGUUGUUUAACUUUGCUAUUUAAGUAUUUUUUUUUACUUAGUCAAAUUUGUGGUGUAAGAUAGGUUGAGUAUUGCAGGCGUUUGCAAGACUGCCUAAGGUGGUGUUCGGUAAAAAUAAAUUGACCCUUUUUCAAUUGGUAUCAGAGCACGGUUGAACGAUGGUGAAAAACACAGAACUGUGGGAACUGAAACAAAAAAUUGAAGCAUUCGUUGGGUUUACAGAUGAUAAUUUGGGAGACCCUUCGUUUGUAGAUCUGUUGACACAAGUCAUUGAUUUGAGACUUAACGCUGAGAAAGUUCAAGGGGAGAUUGGUGUAUAUCGACAGAAUGUUGACAAACACAUCACUAAAAUCUUGAAUUUUUGUACCACAACUACACAACAACUUGAAGGACUGCAUAAGGAAAAUAAAAACCUUCGUGUAGAAAUCGUUUUAUUGUGUCGGGCGGUGGCCACGUUGAGUUCAAAUCGUGUUGAAUCAUCUAAGGUUAAAAUUCCAGAACCUAAAGCCUUUAGUGAUGCAAGAAGUGCUAAAGAACUGAAAAACUUCAUUUGGGCCAUGGAACAGUAUUUUACUGCUGCAAGGGUGCCUGACGCUGACAAGUUAAACAUUACCAUAAUGUACUUGACGGGUGAUGCUAAACUUUGGUGGAGAACUCGAAAUGCAGAUGAUGUAAGUGUUGGUCGUCCUAGAAUUGAUACGUGGGAUAAGGUAAUAAAAGAAAUGCGCGAUCAAUUUCUCCCUAGCAAUGCAUCCUGGCUUGCAAGGGAUAAGUUGAAAAGGCUAAGGCAGACAUGUUCGGUGAGGGAAUACAUUAAAGAAUUUACCUCUGUGAUGUUAGACAUUCAAAACAUGUCUGAUAAGGAUAAGUUACACAACUUCAUUUAGGGUAUGCAAAGCUGGGCUCAAAACAAACUUCGGAGGCAGAAUGUGAAAGAUAUGGCUGGCGCAAUUGCUGCUGCAGAUUCGUUGGUUGAUAUCCGGACAACUCGUCCUUUGACGGAUGUUCCAUCUACUUCAAAAACUAAGAAAAAGAACGAUAAGAAAGGGGAAUGGAAAAAGAUAGUCGUAAGGACUAUAUAAAUGAUAAAGGGCAAAUGAAGGAUGGAAAAGACAGACCAAAGAACAAAGAUGGUAAUUCUAAGGGCUGUUGGACUUGUGGCGGUCCUCCAUUUGGCCAAGUCUUGUCCAAACCAGGAAAAAGUAAAUGCUUUGCUUGCUGGAAAUAUGAAUAAGGGAGAAAGAUGAGGAAAUCGUGGCUGUAAUGGCAAACCCAUUGGGAUUGUCCUUCAACCAUAUUACGUGGGUUAAUAAUGUUGGAGAAACGUCCAGUACUUCGAAUCCUCAUGCUUCCCUAAUUCAUAUAGAAAUGACAGUGAAAGAACAACGUGUGAUGGAAAUGGUUGAUACAUGAGCUGCUCAUACAUUUGUAGAUGUGAAAAUUGCUACAAAAUUGGGGCUAAAGUUGUCUAAAAUCCCUUCCUACGUCAAAACAGUCAAAACAGUCUAUGUCGACUGGAAAUUGGGUGGAAAAAUAUAAUUUGAUGGUGAUGUCGCUUGGUGAAUUUGAGAUCAUACUUGGGAUUGAUUUUCUAAGAAAAUUCUAGUUUGUUCCGUUUCCUCAUUUAGAUGGAGUGAUGGUUAUGAAUGGAAGUAAGCUGGAUUUCUUAAAGGAUUUCAUCUAUUUGGUAACAUUAAAGUUGCAAAGAAGAAAGACAAGGGAAUGUUCUUGUCUGCUAUGUCAAUCUACAAAGGGCUGAAGAAGGGUGAUGACACUAUACUUGCUUCCUUGGUUGAAGUAAAACCUGAUGUUCAUAUGGAAGUGCCUGAUUAUAUUGCUGAAUUGCUUAAACAGUAUGCUGAUGUUAUACCGCCUGAGUUACCAAAGAAUUUACCACCAAUGAGGGAUAUCGAUCAUAAAAUUGAGUUGCUGCCUGAUACGGUUGCUCCUGCACAGGCUACUUAUCGUAUGACUCAUAAGGAAUUGGCUGAAUUGCGUAAACAAUUGAACAAAGUGUUGGAUGCUGGAUUGAUUCAGCCAUCUAAGGCUCCAUAUGGUGCCCCUGUUUUAUUUCAAAAGAAACAGGAUGGGACGAUGCGAAUGUGUGUAGACUACAGGGCGCUGAAGAAGGCAACUGUAUACUUUUAGAGAAUAAAAUCAAUACUUCUAAAUUAUAUAUCACUGGGGACUGAUUUAGGAAGUUGGGAAAUGGUAAUUGAGAAAAAUAAUAUGUUCACAUGUGGAUAUUUCUAUAUACUCAUUUUUUAGCGUAGCCCACUAAUAAACUAAAACAUUUUCCUUUUAGAAAGGUACACAUAUUAAAGACCCAUAUUAUUUCAUCAUUAAUUAUAAUAAAAAUAAAUCUAACUCAAUUUUAUAAUAUAAAUAAAAGGCCGAUUAUUAACGAAUGAUAAAUAAAGCAAAUCUAGCACAAACAUAAAUGAUAGAAUUAAAAAAUUAUUGAACGAAUAUCUCUCAGUAAAUAUAGCUGAUACGUUAGUUAGUAAAGUAAAGAUUAAUAUAAAAACAACUAAUUGGAAAAGUGAGUCAAUAACUAAUCGGUUAAUUAAUGCAUGUGGAUUUUUAAAUUAUUCGCACUGCCCCAGCAUCAACUGGUACAAGGAGGAGGCACGAUAGCGAAGAUCAAUCCAUCUCAAUCUACAAAAAGCAUCGCCGUGGGAAGAGCCGCUUCCUUCUUGCUUGAUAGGGGGGCGGGAGCCGGACAACACAUAGCUGGAAGUCAGAGGAUGGAGAGAACCGCGACGCUUUACCUUACGAAUAUCUAAAGGCGAAGAUCUCUUUUCGACUAGCAAGUUUACGUACCUAGGUCCUAAGUUUCUCAUUACUCGGUGAAGUCUGAUUUGAGCCCUGGUCAAACUGAUCUCUCCGGCGGGCGGAGGAUGUUCCUCCAUUUAAGUGGUUCUCGCUUCUCCUUGUUCCUGUUCCUAACUCCUCCCCGGGUAGUUCCCAAUGUUUGGCACUUUCCAUACGCUGCUCUCCGAGACAGUUCAUUCAGCUGGAUUGUGGGUAUAGCAGGACAAUUGCUUUCUCUAGAAGGAAGGCCUUGGUUUGGUACUACGAGCCCUCUGCCCCACGCAUCUAACCAGCUCGCGUGGUUCACCGGUUCCACAGACUAGACCAAAAGAGUGAUUCAGUCGAUACAGAGGUGCGCUUGGAGUGGGGGGUGUGCCCCUAUAAUCCAUGGACGACCAGUGGAGUUCAUAAAAGAAAGCAAAGAAAGGUCCGCGACAAAGCUGUCCCCUCUCUCCAUAUCUCUACUUACUGGCUGGGUGCAGAUAACACUGUAAUAAUAACAAAGCCAGAUAGAGAUACUGUUCGUUCAGGGAAGGAAGUCAGAGACUCCCUUUUUUUUGGUUUAAGGGCUGCUCUCCCUACCGAAGUACCAAAGGCUUUCGAGGCUUACACCGAGUUUCAGUUUCAAAAGGGAGAAAAUAUCACUAGAACGAGGUUCAGUUCAAAUCGGGUGGAAGAGAGCGGUUUAGUGGCUUUGGGGAGUCCAUUGCAUCAAGAGUAUAGAGAUUGAUUGGGGCCAAGGACCCUUUUAGCAAACCAGGAAUAUAGUUACGUGUGUGGCCCGGCCCAUAAGGGCCAUGCGGACUUGACGUCAUCCCCACCUUCCUCCAGUAUAUCACUGGCAGUCCUUCGUGAGUGCGGCACGCACCUUUUUGUUUGUUUCGGAGCCGUUUGUUCCAGGAAGCACAACAAAAGAACUCUAUCAAUUCUGUCACUCUUAUCUACGAUAGCAGCAAACUCCACUUCUGAAACAAGAGAAAAGAUCAUAUCGGCAACAGCAAGUAAAGUCUGAAAUGCCUCAGAAGCAAGUCUCGGCUUAGCUGCCUUUUCACCUCUUCUCUUCCGUCGGUCUUGUACUGAGCUGUACCCAUAGAUCUAUAUGAAAAAUAGAUAUAUGAAAAUUCAAGAAAUUCAUUUUCAAAAACCCGGGAUUUCAGAGGCGAACGACGACAUAAAGGUUCCCCAAGUCAUCCAUGGCGGCCGGGCAAGCUCUCGGCACAUCCAAUUCCAUUCCGAUCAACAACUUGGAGGUAUGGCUGAGUGGCUUAAGGCAUUGGGUUGUUAUUCUGGUAGACAUCACCCGAACGCCGGAAAGGAUGGGGGAAAUCCUCCAGAGUCUCCAAACGGAGAGACGCCAUAGCCCCUACUUUCGGGAAGUCCAAACGGAUUUCUGAAACUUACGGGGUUCUGGAGGUACGGAGAUGCAACUGCGAAAGGCCUGUCGACUUGAGUCGAGCUAACUUUCGAUCGAGGACUACCGGUGAAAAGUGUUUGUAGCGUCAAUUCCUUUCGGUGAAGGUGAUAGCCCUGUAGAUUCGUUCCCAUGGUUCGAUCCUUCCCAGUAAAACGCGACGUGUUCGAAUUCUGAUCGCUUUUACGCGGAUAGCAGCAUGGGCAAAGCACUCUGCUGCGGCGAGCAGCCGGUUCUUAUUGCAUUCACCAAGAUAGUCUUGCUCGCUCCUUUCCUUACAGUCAAGUGCCUUUCCGCUCCUGAACUCUGCGGCGAGUUCAGCCACCACCUUCGGGUCUGGGCUCUGCUCGAGUUUAAGACUAAACCCAAGACCACGCUCUUCCCUUUUGAGUCUGCUCUUAGGUGCCCUAGCCCGAAGAAGGAAAGACGAGGCAUAGCAAAGGCUAAGGCGAUGGAAGCAAGACUGAGUCCCUGUGGGGGCAACUACUAAGCUCCCGCCCACCCUCAACCAAUUAGGGUAAAGUGUUCAUUCAUACCUUCAACAGCACCGAGAUAUUGGCCCAUGACCAUGUUUACUUCAUCUUCAAGAGCAAGCAUCCUGGCUCUCAGGGCCUCAGGCAACCCUGGAUCAUUUCCUACUUCCUUAGUGAUUCCAAGAAGAUGCUUCAACCCCGUUAAGGAACGGACCGGAGGGAACCGCAACAUGGGGAAUGUCCGCGUCUCGUCGCAAGGCUCAUUUUUCAUUGUGGGUCAUAAGGCGGGCAGCUUUAUCUGAUCAAGGACUAGCGCCCCUGCAAUCAGAAAGCCUUUUGAUAACCUUACUACUAAUAGAAAGGGGAAAGAUGCGCUCAAUCCCCCCGGGUAGCCAUAUUUGCAUGGAAUUACAUCAGUACAUUAGUUAGACGAGCUGGUAGCUAGCUACCCCGAUUCACACCGAGUUCUCUUUGUCGGGCAUGGAGAAAGCUCCAAGGAUUACCCUGGGGUUAGACCACUCUACGGAACCCCUUUUGACGGCUGCUCUGUGCCACAGUAGACAUAAGAAUUUUUUCCUAUUAGAUAUGAAAUAGCUCAGACAAAAAGCUCGAACGUAAUUGACUUCUUUCUUAACUUAAAUAAAGGAAGAGAUGAUUUGGAGAAGAUAUACUAGUAAUAAUUUUAUUUAAAUAGUUCAUUGAAAAGAACAAUGUACAACAUCAUAAAUUAAUGUGUAAAAACUUUAGAGAAAAAAUAUUAAUUAGUAAAAGUUCAAUGAUUUUUCAGAAUCGAUUGUUAUGUUAUCCAUUUAUUCUACUAUAUUCAAAAUUAUCCAUACGAAGCUAUGAAUAAAAUAUACUGAAUUUUACCAUCUAGCGACGUAUUUAUAUAAAAAAAUAUGAAGAAUCUGAAUGAUCGAUAUCAGAUGAUUAGGAAUUUUUACAUGAAAGAAUAGUUUUUCAGAAUUAAUAGUUUUGUUUCCCAUUUAUUCUACAUGUUUGUUUUAUAAUUAUCACUAUAAAGCUAUAACUAAAAUAUAUCAAAUCUUACCGUCUAACCAACAUAAUCUAUAUUAACACUUAAAAAAAAUGAAAAUUCCAAAUAACCAAUAAGAUGAUAAGAAUUUAUACUCGAAAGAAGAAAUUUAAGGAUCGAUUGUUAUGUUUUCCAGUUAUGACACACUCGUUUUAAAAUUAUCACUAAGAAGCUAUAAUUAAAAUAUACCAAAUCUUACAGUCUAGCGAAUAUAAUCUCUAUUGACACUUACUUUAAAAAAAUUCAAAAAAUUUGAAUGACCGAUAAGACAGUUAGAAUUUUAACACAAAAAAUUAAUUUUUCAUAAUUAGUUGUUAUGUUAUCCACUUAUUCUAUACACACAUUUAAAAUAAUUCCUACGAAGCUAUAAUUAAAAUAUAUUGAAUCAUACCAUCUAAAGUUAUAAAAAAGGAUAUGAAGAACUAAAUAACUGAUAAGAUGAUUAGAAUUUUUACACGAAAUAAUAGUUUUUCAGGAUUGAUUGUGAUGUUUCCAACUUAUUCUAUAUACUUCUUUUAAACUAUCACUCUAAAACUAUAAUGAAAAUAUACCGAAUCUUACCAUCUAGACAACAUAAUCUAUAUUAACACUUAAAAAAUGAUAUGAGUAUUCCGAAUGACCGAUAAGACUGUUAGAAUUUUUUACACGAUAGAUGAAUUAUUAAGGAUCAAUAGUUAUGCUUUUCAAUUGCUACGCACUUGUUUUAAAUUGUCACUAAGAAGCUAUAAUUAAAAUAUACCAAAUCCUACCGUCUAGUCGACAUAAUCUCUACCUACACUCAUAAAAAAAUGCGAAGAAUCUGGACGACCGAUAAGACGGUUAGAAUUUUUUACACGAAAGAGUGAUUUUUUAGAAUUGAUUGUUAUGUUAUCCACUUAUCUACACACGCAAUUAAAAUAAUUUCUACGAAGAUAUAAUUAAAAUAUGCCGAAUCUAUUGACGGUUAGAAAAACGAAUAUAAAGAAUCCAAAUGACCGAUAAGAUGGUUAGGAUUUUUAUACUAAAAAAUAAUUUUUCAGGAUUGACUAUUAUGUUCCCCACUUAUUCUACACAUUCGCUUUAAAAUUAUUAGUACAAAUCUAUAAUUAAAAUAUACCAAAUCUUACUGUCUAGCCAACAUAAACUAUAUUAACACUUAAAAAAAAGGCUAUGAAAAAAUUCGAAUGACCAGUAAGACGGUUAGAAAAUUUGCAUGAAAGAAUGAUUUUUAGGGUUGGUCAUUGUGUUUUUAAUUAUUUAUCAAUACGUUUUUAAUUUAUCAUUACGAAUAUAUAAUUAAAAUAUAUUAAAUCUUACUGUCUAGCUGACGUAGUCUCUAUUGACAGUUAUAAAACUGAAUAUAAAAAAUCCGAAUGAAUGGUAAAAUGGUUAAGAUUUUGUACACGAAAGUAAAAUUUAUAGAAUUGAUCGUUAUGUUUUCCACUUAUUCUACACACUCGUUUUAAAAUUAUAACUACAAAACUAUAAUUAAAAUAUAUGAAAUCUUAUCAUCUAGCCAACCUAAUCUAUCUUAACACUUAGAAAAAGAAUAUGAAGAUUUCGAAUGACUGGUAAGACGGUUAUAAUUUUUUACACGAAAGAAAGAUUUUCAGGAUCGAUCGUUAUGUUUCUCACUUAUUAUACUCUCGUUUUAAAAUUAUCACUAAGAAGUUAUAAUCCAAAUCUUACCGUCUAGCUGACAUAAUCUCUAUUGACAAUUAUAAGAAAUACGAAUAAUAAUAUUAAUAAGACGGUUAAGAAUUUUUACAUAAAUUGAAUAAUUUUCAAUAUGUUUUCCACUUAUACUACACACGCAUUUUAAUAUCAUCACUAUGAAGCUAUAUAAUUAAAAUAUAUCAAAUCCAUAUUGACAGUUAUAGAAAAGAAUAUGAAGAAUCCCAAUGACCAGUAGGAUGGUUAGGAUUUUUUACCAAAAAAAAGGAUUUUUUUUUUAUUCAGAAGAGCUAGUGCUUGACGCGCAUUAAAGCGCACUUUAGCAUAAAAACCCAGAUAGCGUAAGUUAGCGACCUGUUCCGAAUAGGGCGGUGUCUAUCCUUCUAUAAAUAGAGGUGCAUUGUCUAAGUUUUUUUCUCUAAGCCUCCUUUCUGAAGCUGAGAGGAGACGAAAGAAGCGAAAACCAGAUCUGUACUGAACAAGUGAAAUUGACUGAAGAAUGGAGUCUUAAAAUAGAAACUUACAUAUAGAUUAAUCAAAACCCUCUGUUAUCUAUCUUGUUCGAAAAAAAAACAAAAUAAUUAUUCUACUGUAUAAAUUUCUUCUGUAGAGGUGUAACCUAGGUUGCGCCACCAUGGAUUUGCGCUUCCCCUUCUAGCCGGCGGAGGUUGCCAAGGUCCGGACGGUCCAGUUCGGCAUUGUCAGCGCCGACGAAAUUGUAAUUUUCACUAAUCUUGAUUCAUUUUGUUGAAUUCUCUAGGGUUUAAAUUUGAUUUAGUUUUUGUUUCUUCGUUUCCAGAGAUAAAUGUCUGUGGUGCACAUUGAGCAUGGUGAGACUACGGAGUUGAGCGAUCCUCGACUUGGGACGAUUGAUCGGAAGAUGAAGUGUAAGACGUGUAUGGCGAACAUGGCUGAUGUCCGGGGCAUUUUGGUCACCUUGAGCUUGCGAAACCUAUGUUUCAUAUAGGUUUUAUGGAACCUGUUCUUAGUAUCCUUCGGUGUGUCUGCUUCAAUUGCUCCAAAAUUCUGGCGGAUGAGGUACUUUGAUUGACUUGAAUUGAAUUGUUAGGUUAAAAGUUUGUGUAUAGUGAAAUUGUCUUCUUCUUUUUUUUUUUUUGUUUAAGAAGGAUUGAAUUACUGAUCAUAUAUUUUUCACUACCUGGUUUGAUGUUUGUGAUAUCAAUUAAAUUAUAAGUGGGUAAACCAUUAACAUUUGGAGGUUUCAGGUUUGCCAGUGGAGGUCUAGAAACAAGUUUUGAACAAGUACAGGCUGAGGAAGUUUUGAUAGAGCAGUAUUUCUCUAUUACAUCAACAUGACCCUUUUUAGGAGAUAGCUUCUAUUUACUUACUAGUUAAUCAGGAUUUGGUAGUUCAGUGAAUUGUAUUUUUCUGGAAUGUUGCAAAUUUCGUCAUGCCUUUUUAUUUUUCUUCCUGUUAGAAGGGAGAAAUGAUAAAAUACUCUAAUUGCAUACCAGUGUGAAUAGAUGGAAGAUUCAUUUUAAAAGAAGGAACAUAAAGAACUCUAUGAAUGAUCAAAUUAGGGAAAAGAGUAGCAACACUUCCUAUAUGAGUAGCUUUUACCUUCGAAGAAUCAUGAAAAAGGAGUAAGGUAAGUGAAAAGCUCAGGAUUAGAAGAUAAAUGUUCUGAAGCUCCCGAGUCUAAUAUCCAUUCACUAGACUUGAUUGAAAUAAAGAGUAGUCAAACUCACUCCAUUUUGAUUGUUUAUUCAACGGUGAGAAUCGGAUUAUAAUUUAUGUAUAGAGGUGAUUCUAAAAUUAGACAACACUUAAUGGUCUUGCUACAUUUCCUUACGGUUUCACGGUUUCACUGAUGAAUGAAGGGGAAAAAAAACUUGGUCUAAUCUUGACGUCUCAUAAGGAAGGAAGUGGUCGUUUCUCUAUGCAUUAUUUCUGAUCCUGGAAUUCAGACCCCAUAUGAGACCGGCGUCGUUGACCUCUCAGAAGUCGCAAACAAGCCUACUUACGUCAUUCUUACUUUACAUAGGUUAAUUUGUAACGAUUCAAAAAAAAAGAAGAGAAUUAUGUAAAUAAGAAUAAAUAGGUAUUUAAGGGCAUAAUUGUCCUUUCACGUUUUAAAUGAAUAAAUAAAUAAAUAAAUAAAACAGAUUUGUAUUUAUUUAUUUUAAUGUUAUUUGACUAAUUCUUGAAUUAGUCUCCUAAUCCAAUUAGCCCUCUCUCUCUCACGCUUCUAAACUCCCCCUCUCACGUUCUCUAUCUUCCUCACAUUAUUUCUGCCAAAAUAUCAAUAAUUUUCAUGCUUGAAGAACUCACAAAAAAAUUUUUAAGCAAAAGAAAAAGUAAUCAAAACGUCAAGGCUAAGAGAGGUUUGGUGAGUGAGGUGUACGUUGAAGUGAAUUGGGAGUGGUUUGGAGGAGUUUUCCGGGCAGCAACAUUUAAAGUUUGAACAUCGAUUAAGGUAUGAGUUUUCUUCUCUCUUGGAUCCUUUCCCAAGAGGUUCCUUACGAUUCAAACUAUUCAUCUCAAAACUAAGGUUGUUCCCCCGUUGCAUGUCCCUGUCACUAGCUCCCUAUGAUCUUAGGUUGGGUAUUCUUGUUGAUAGAAUUUAGGGAUACUUGUUUGUGGUGAUAAUCUCGUUUCGAAUAUGUGUUCAUGAUGAUGUGAUUAUAUUUUAUGUUUUUCGGAAAAUAUGAAUGUAUUUGUGCAAGAUUUUGAUCAUGACUUUGAGUUUUUCUUUAGCAUGUUAAUAGAUUUGAGAUUACUCGUGUUUUAUGUGCAAUUAGAGGCUCUUAAAAUCGUAAUAUUCGUAAUAUUCACAUGGUUGAAAGGCUGUAAAUUCUAGUCACAAUAAAUGAUCAAAUCAUCCCCCUAAAUUUGUCUUAAGAACAUUAAUGAAUGUAUAAGAAAAAUGCUAAAUUAACCCGUAAAAAAGAUGUGAAAAAUUAUGGAGUAGUGUCCCAGAAUCUGGAAAUAAGUUUUAGACACAUUCUGGAAAAUUUGAGCAAAAAAUGAAUUAAAAAAAAAUAGGUGAGGUCUUCAGGGAUCGAACCCGAGACCUCACCAACACAUGCCUUGAUAAAAUAAUUAAAAAGGAGUGUUGAAGACGGGGCUCGAAAUGGGGGCUGGGACCAGCGAAAUUCGCCAAGAAAAGAAAUAAAAAGGGGGCUGGGGGGAAUCGAACUCGCGACCCCCAGCCACGCGCGAAAAAAAAAAGGGGGAUUAAAGAGGGAAUGCUGGGGGCGGGGAUCGAACCCGCGACCCCCAGCUAUGCGCGGAACGAAUUAAAAGGGAGAAAAGGAACGCGAGGCGUGGGAAUCGAUCCCACGACCUCAGCGCUGAAGGGAGGGCGCAAAUAAUAGCGUGAGGCUGUGGGGAUUCGAUCCCAUGACCUCACUGCCACUCCCCUAUUAAAUAAAAAAAAAUAGAGGGGCUGUGGGGGUUCGAACCCACCACCUCACAGCCUUCUCUUCAGCGAAAAUGAGAGGAAAAAUAAGGGGCUGUGGGGGUUCGAACCCACAACCUCCCUAUUCAAGCGAAUUUAAUUAAAAAUAAUAAUAAUAGUAAAUUAAAAUUCUAAUUAAAGUUGGAAAAUUAAUUCUCUUAUGUAAACAUUGAGAUUUAAUUUAGAAUUUUAAUUAAAAAUAGAACAUUAAUUCUUUUAUGUAAAUAUUGAGAUUUAAAUUGGAAUUCUAAUUAAAUUAGAAAAUUAUUCUUUCAUGUAAAUGAUUGAAAUUUAAUUUAGAAUUCUAAUUAAAAUAGAAAAUUUAUUAUUUCACGAAAAUGUUGAGACUUAACUUAGAGUUCUAAAUUUAUGAAUAUUAGAACUAAAAUCAAUGAAAAAUAUAAAUGAUAUCCAAAUAAUUCAAAAUUUGGGUUCUCGUGUCCAAACCUCCGUAUUGAUACAUAAGUCAUACGUGAGUGAAAUAUUCAAGAAUAAUGUCAUCUACUUAGAUCAAAAAUCAAAGAUCUUGGCAUAUAUACAAGAUACAUAAGUCUUGUAAUACAUAAUCUUAGAAAAACAAGAAUUCACUUAACGAACUAUAAAUGAAGUCUCAUGGCUUGUAUGUAUAGAUAUAUAAGUUUAACAUACGUUCAAGAAUAAGUGAACCUAAGAUAUACGUAAUGAAAUGAAGAAUGUGGUGACAAUCAUGAUGUGAGGUUAAUGCAUAUGAUGAGAGCAAUCUUAAAUGAGCUUAAGUAAAUGUUACCGAUACAUACUCACCAAUGAGAGUGUAAGAUAAUGAAGAGACCAGUCUCUAUGAAUACUCUAAUAAAAAUAUUGAGUUUAAAACACUUAAUACUAAUGAUGAGAUGAGAAAUCAUUUAUUGAGCUAUGAUGUCUUCAUACUAGAAGCAAACUUCUAUGAUGUAUGAGUUGCAUGUAAUGGAACUUUAUACCGAGCACCGAUAGGCUAGCUAUGAGUGGUGAUGCCUUCUUUCGGGAAGGGCGGAGGUUCACGUAAUUCUCAUGAGAUGAGACUGUCCGGCUUGCCGGGUAUGGGUCUCCAUACAUCUCCUAGUCUUUGAACCUAUAUUGCCACUAUAGGGAUCUGGCGGGGUUAAAUUCCCAUAUACGCUAGCAUGUUAUUGAAUCGCUUUGGCCGGUGAUUCCACCUCUUUUCGGUGUGGGGAAGACACUGGAUUUCAUGAUGCUCACAUGAUCUAUGUCGGUUAAAGUUAAAGUUCCCAAUGAAUGAAUGAGGCCAGCCUCAAAUGAAUCAUAUAAAGAAAUGAAUGAUACCGAAGGUGUUAGGAUAGGAUAAUCAAGAGGUGAGCUAGAUUCAGGUAAUGACAUUAGGUCAUUCCUGAUCAUUGCACAGCAAACCCGAUGAGAGUCUUAAACUACAUCCUAGGUAUAGCUGGUGUUCGCACUGGCCUAUGAAUGAAUUGAAAUGAAAUACGAAUGAAUGAGUGAAGCAGACUCUGUGUUUGCUAAAGAAGGCUCCCUAGUUGAGGUCCCAUAUGUUGAGCCCUCAUUUUGGAAAGUCUUAAAGUUAAGUCUAUGAUAAUAAGGUCUCAUGAUAUACGAAUGAAUAAUAUGAACGAAAGUAUGUGUUAUAUGUUAUGUGUUAUAUGAAUAUGUUAUGUUUUGUGUGCUAUACGAUAAUUAUAAUGAUGCAUGUCACUCUCAUGGCAUAACUUUCCCAAUCUUAAUUUGGCAAGUCCACUGACUUGACUUCCAAAAAUCAUGUUGUUAGGAAAGAGCUAUUCUUCCUCAUGCAUGUCCCUGGUGUGUACUUGCAUAUACUCAUACUUAGUACAAGUGUGUACUAAUUCCAUACGAACAUCUACUUUUAGGUGCAGGCACAGGUGGACGCUAGAGCUACAUGUUCGUUGUUGCAGCUAUCCGGACAUCAGUAUUCAUCCGGAGUUUGGUAGGUCCUCAUGCUUUCGAGGAUGCUACUGUUUUACAUUCUAGCGUAGUUUUAGAGUUGAGCUAGCGGAGCAUGUUCCACUAGCGUUUCUUUCCUGUUUUGGUUCAAACUUUGUAUUGGUGCUAUUUUGGCCGAUAUACAAUUAAUACUUAAUGAAUUAUUUCUUUCAGUUGCUUAUCUCUUAAAUGUUAGAUGGUUGAUGAUGAACGAUUACGAAAUGUUAAGAAUGUUCAGCAAGUAUGAUUAAAGAAUCAAAAAUUUCAAAUUUUCCGCUAAAAUUAAUCUAUGUAAAGUAAGAAUGACGUAAGCAGGCUUGUCUGCGACCUCUGAGAGGUCAACGACGCCGGUCUCGUCUGGGGUCUAGAUUCCGGUCGUGACAUAAUUUUAGCGAAAAAUUUGAAACUUUUUGUUUCUUAACAUGCUUACUAGACAUUUUUUAGUAUUUCGUAAUCGUUCAUCAUAAACCAUCUAACAUUUAAUUUUUUUACUGAAAGAAAUAAUUCAUUAAAUAUUAAUUGUAUAUCGGCCAAAAUAGCACCAAUACAAAGUUUGAACCAAAACAGGAAGGAAACGCUAGUGGAACAUGCUCCACUAGCUCAACUCUAAAACUACGCUAGAAUGUAAAACAGUAACAUCCUCGAAAGCAUGAGGACCUACCAAACUCUGGAUGAAUGUUGACAUCCGGAUAGCUACAACAACGAACCUGUAGCUCUACCGUCCACCUGUGCCUGCACCUAAAAGUAGAUGUUUGUAUGGAAUUAGUACACACUUGUACUAAGUAUGGGUAUAUGCAAGCACACACCAGGGACACGCAUGAGAAAGAAUAGCUCUUUCCUAAUGACAUGAUUUUUGGAAGUCAAGUUAGUGGACUUGCCAAAUUGAGAUUGGGAAAGUUAUGCCACGAGAGUGAAAUGGAUCAUUAUAAUUAUCAUAUGGCACACAACACAUAAUAUCUUCAUAUAACACAUAACUUCUUUCAUAUUAUUCAUUCAUAUGUCAUGAGACCUUGUUAUCAUGGACUUGACCUUAAGACUUUCCAAAAUGAGGGCUCAACAUAUGGGACCUCAACUAGGGAGUCUUCUUUAGCAAACAUAGAGUCUGCUUCAUACAUUCAUACGUACCUCAUUUCAGUUCAUUCAUAGGCCAGUGUGAACACCAGCUAUACCUAAGAUGUAGUUUAAGACUUUCAUCGGGUUUGUUGUGUAAUGAUCAGGAAUAACCUAAUGUCAUUACCUGAAUCUAGCUCACCUCUUGAUUAUCCUAUCCUAGCACCUUCGGUAUCAUUCAUUUCUUUAUAUGACUCAUUUAAGGUUGACCUCAAUAAUUCAUUGGAAACUUUAACUUUAACCGACAUAGAUCAUGUGAGCAUCAUAAAAUUCAGUGUCUCCCCCACACCGAAAAGAGGUGGAAUCACCGGCCAAAGUGACUCAAUAACAUGCUAGCGUAUAUGGGAAUUUAACCUCGCCAGAUCCCUAUAGUGGCAGUAUAGGUUCAAAGACUAGGAGAUAUAUGGAGACCCAUACUCGGCAAGUCGGAUAGUCUUAUCUCAUGAGAGUUACGUAAACCUCCGCCCUUCCCGAAAGAAGGCAUCACCGCUCAUAGCUAGCCUAUCGGUGCUCAGUAUAAAGUUCCAUUACAUUCAACUCAUACAUCAUGGAAGUUGACUUCUAGUAUGAGGACAUCAUAGCUCAUUAGAUGAUUUCUCAUCUCAUCAGUAGUAUUAAGUGUUUUAAACUCAAUAUUUUCAUUAGAGUGUUCAUAGAGACUGGUCUCUUCAUAAUCUUACACUCUUAUUGGUGAGUACGUAUUGGUAACAUUUACUUAGACCUAUUUGAGAUUUCUUUCAUCAUAUACAUUAGCCUCACAUCAUGAUUGUUACCACAUUCUUCAUUGUUAGCACCUUUGUUUUUCAUAGUUACUCACCUCUUAUUACGUGAAUGUUUAUUUCUUCAUUUCAUAGUUCAUUUUAUCAUAUGCCAAUGCACUUGGCCAUUUAGUGUAUCUUACAAUCGUACUUAACCCUCCUAAGAUUCAUCAUUUCAUUACGUACAUCUUAGGUUCACUUAUUUUUGAACGUAUGUUAGACUUAUGUGUCUAUACAUACAAGUCAUGGGGCUUCAUUCAUAGUUCGCUAAGUGAUUCUUACUUUCCUAAGAUUAUGUAUUACAAGACUUAUGUAUCUUGUAUAUAUGUCAAGAUCUUGAUUUUUGAUCUAAGUAGAUGACAUUAUUUUUGAAUAUUUUACUCACGUAUGACUUAUGUAUCAAUAUGGAGUUUUGGGCACGGGAACUCAAAUCUUGAAUCACUUGGAUAUCAUUAUAUUUUUCAUUGAUUUUAUUUCUAAUAUUCAUAACAUUAGAACUCUAAAUUAAAGCUCAUCAUUUUCAUGAAAUAAUUAAUUUUCUAUUUUAAUUAGAAUUCUAAAUUAAAUCUCAACAUUUACAUGAAGGAAUUAAUUUUCUAUUUUAAUUAGAAUUCUAAAUUAAAUCCCAACAUUUACAUGAAAGAAUUAAUUUUCUAUUUUAAUUGGAAUUCUAAAUUAAAUCUCAAUAUUUACAUGAAAGAAUGAAUUUUCAAUUUUAAUUAGAAUUCUAAUUUAAAUCUAAAUAUCUACAUGAAGGGAUACAUUUCUGUUUUAAUUUUACUAUUAGCUAACCAAAAGGUUGGGGGUCGAGCCCCAACAACCCCUUUUGAGUUUUUAGAAUUAAAUUUGCUACAAUAGGGAGGUUGUGGGUUCGAACCUCGUAGCCCCCCUUAUUUUCUUUAAAUUUUCGCUGAAGAGGAUGAGGCUGUGAGGUGGUGGUUUCGAACCCCCACAACCUCACUUUAUUUCCUUAAUAUUUUUGCCCCCCCCCCUUCAGUGCUGAGGUCGUGGGUUCGAUCCCCACGCCUCGCAUCUUUUUUCUUUUCUUUUUGCGAACUGUGGGGUCGUGGGUUCUAUCCCUGCCCCCAGCCCCCCCUUUUUUUCUUUUUUCCUUUUUUGCGAACUAGGGUGUCGUGGGUUCGAUCCCCGCCCCCAGCCCCUUCCUUUUUUCUUUUUCGUGAACUGGGGGUCGUGGGUUCAAUCCCCGCCUCCAACCCCUUUUUUUUUUCCUUUUUCGCGAACUGGGGGUUGUGGGUUUGAUCCCCGCCCCCAGCCCCUUCCUUUUUGUCUUUUUCGCGAUCUGGGGGUCGCGGGUUCGAUCCCCUCCCCCCCCCCCCCCCCCCCCCUUUUUUUUUCCUUUUUCGCGAACUGGGGGGUCGUGGGUUCGAUCCCCGCCCCCAGCCCAUUUUUUCAGUUUCUUUCACAGGUGAGGUCUUGGGUUCGAUUCCCAUUGACCUUAAUUUAUUUUGUUUUAAAAACUCAGAAUUUGACACUUUUGAAGGGUACGAAAAUCUGGAAUUUUUUGUCCUUAUCCAACCAUCUUUAGGUGCUUUUUUUUCAUAAGUUUAAGUAGCUAUAAGAUAGUUAUUCAAUUCACUAUACUUAAUCAUAAUGAACAUCACAUUGUACACCCAUUACACAUAAAAUACACAACUUAUACACCCCAAAACAGUGACUAAAACACUGCUUUUCCGGUCAUAUUUUGAUGAUCAUUAUCGUGAUUUCCCGCACAUAAACACAUUCGUAUUUAAUUUAAAUACAUCAUUCAUGCAAAAAUCUAGCAGCACAACAUACCCAUCCUACAAAUCUGUUAGGGAGCUAAGGACAAGGACAUACGAUUAGGAACAACCUUAGUUUCAAGAGUAUAAGAAACGUUCGAAAGAAAGUACUCUUGGAGAAAGAAUUCCAUGAGAGAAACCCAUACCUUUAUUGAUGUUCAAACAAAGAAUUUGCUGCCCAAAACUCUCUCCAAAAAUCAGUUCAAGUUACCUCAACGUCCACACCACUCAAUGAACAACUUCUCUUCGCCUUAAUGUUUUUGGUUGCUUUGUUUUUCUUAAAAUUUCAUGUGAGUUCUUCAAGUGUGAAGAACUCUUGAUGUUUUCUCUGGUUUUUGUUGUGCUUGGCAGAAUAACGUGAGAGACAUGGAGAACGUGAGAGAGAGAGUUAAGAAGCGUGAGAGAGAGAGAGCGCUAUUAGGAUUAGGAGACUAAAUUCAAGAUUUAGUCAAAAUAGGAUUUAACUAACUUAAUAAAAAUCUGAUUUAUUUUAAAUUAAUACGUGAAAGGACCAUUAUGCCCUUAAAAUUUCAGAUUUUCAAUUAAUAACUAAAUCACCUUAAGUACCUAUUUAUUCGACUUUUUUUGAAUCGUUACAGUUGCAAAUGUCGUCAUGCAUUUUUAUUUAUCCCCUGUUAGAAGGGAGAGAGAUGGGAUGUUUUUAUCUAAAGAGUAGUCAAACUCACUCCCUUUUGAUUGUUUAUUGAACAGUGAAAAUCGGAUUAUAAUUCAUGUAUAGAGUUGAUUCUAAAAUUAGACAGCACUUAAUGGUCUUACUACAAUUCCUUAUGGUCUCACUGAUGAAUCAAGAGGGAAAAACUUGGUCUAAUCUUGACGUCUCAUAAGGAAGGAAGUGGUCGUGUCUCUAUGCAUUAUUUCUGAUACUCAAUGCAGCUUUGGGUUGUAUAAUUGGAUCUUUGGGUCUUUCGAUUUUGUGCAGGACAAUCCCAAGUUCAAACAAGCCAUGAGAAUCAGGAAUCCUAAAAACAGGCUUAGAAAGAUGUUGGAUGCUUGCAAGAACAAAACAAAAUGUGAAGGAGGGGAUGAAGUUGAUGUACAAGGUCAAGAUACUGAAGAACCUGUCAAGAAGAGUAGAGGUGGCUGUGGUGCACAGCAGCCAAAAAUUUCAAUAGAUGGUAAGAAAAUGGUUGCUGAAUAUAAGAUGCAAAAGAAAAGAAGUGAUGAUCCUGAUCCGGAGCAGAUGCCAGAACCAGUCGAUAGGAAGCAACAACUCUCUGCUGAAAGGGGUAUGUGCCUGUUUACCUCGGGUGUUCUUAUUUGCUUGGGACGACCUCUCAUUGUGUGUAUAAUCAUGACCUCAUAUUGUAGGUGUUGAGCAUUCUGAAGCGGGUAAUUGACGAAGACUGCAUCUUGCUUGGCCUAAAUCCAGAGUUCGCUCACCCAGAUUGGAUGAUUCUUCAAGCACUUCCCGUACCACUACCACCUGUUCGGCCUUCUGUGAUGAUGGAUACUUCAUCAAGGAGUGAGGUAUUCAUUUUCCUGUUGAGGUUCUAGAGCUUAGUGUACUGUUGCUAAAACUUUUGCUUUAUCUCUGCUUUCUUCUGUUCUUUAAUUCUAGAAAAUUGUGCCAGUGGGAUUACCUUCUUCUGUUAAAUUUUUUUGUAGGAUGAUUUAACACAUCAACUGGCCAUGAUUAUUCGUCACAACGAGAAUUUGAAGAGGCAGGAAAGGAAUGGGGCACCGGCGCACAUUAUUUCGGAGUUUGCACAGUUACUGCAAUUUCAUAUAGCUACGUAUUUUGAUAAUGAUCUGCCUGGACAACCAAGAGUAUGCUGAUUCUCUCUUAAACAUCCUUUUCUUUAACUAUUGGAUCCUUUGAAACUUCAAAAGUUCUAAUUACUGGCUUUUACUUAUUCUAAUUUGCAGGCUACGCAAAGAUCAGGUAGAUCUGUUAAAUCAAUAUGUAGUAGAUUAAAAUCAAAGGAAGGUCGGAUCAGAGGCAAUCUGAUGGGCAAAAGAGUAGACUUUUCUGCUCGGACAGUGAUUACCCCCUAUCCAACUAUUAACAUUGAUCAAUUGGGAGUCCCAUGGAGUAUUGCUCUGAAGCGCACUUAUCCAGAAACAGUGACACCAUAUAACAUUGAAAGCUGUUUUUUUGUUGUUGUAGAAAUGAAACCCCACACUCAUCAACCCAUUAGAAACAAGAAGGAAGUAUGAACUGUAUAUGUUUGUGCUGAUUGAAGCUGGGUUCUUCACACAGGUUAAAGGAACUUGUUGAAUAUGGACCUCAUCCACCUCCUGGUAAAACCGGGGCCAAGUAUAUAACUAGGGACGACGACCAAAGGCUUGAUCUUCGAUACAAUCAUCACCUUGAACUAGGAUAUAAGGUUUGUUUCUUUCAGUUUCUCGUAAUUGAGGGGCUUUUGAUGUCUGCGGUAGCUCCCUAACCUCCAAUGCUGCCAAUGCAGGUUGAGAGGCACUUAAAUGAUGGAGAUUUUGUUCUCUUCAAUCGGCAACCCAGUCUACAUAAAAUGUCUAUUAUGGGACAUAGGAUUAAGAUCAUGCCAUACUCAACUUUCUGCUUGAAUUUAUCUUUCAUUUCUUUCUUACAAUGCUGAUUUUGAUGGUGACGAAAUGAACAUGCAUGUUCCACAGUCAUUUGAAACCAGAGCAGAGGUGCUGGAGCUUAUGAUGGUCCCUAAGUGUAUUGUUUCACCCCAGGCAAACUGUAAUUGGUAUCGUCCAGGAUACCCUUUUAGGUUGCCGCGAAGUUAUUAAAAGAGAUAUCUUUAUAGAAAAGGUGAAUCUGCAUGUGCCAUUUCAUAAUUUCUUUAUCAUAUCUUUCAUGAUUUUGCAUGAUCCAGUAAAGAAUGCUUACUUCCGGUUUGCAGGAUGUCUUUAUGAACAUCUUAAUGUGGUGGGAGGAUUUUGAUGGGAAAGUACCCGCUCCAGUGAUUCUUAAACCAAGGCCACAUUGGACUGGAAAGCAAGUGUUUAACCUCAUCAUACCAAAACAAAUAAAUCUUUUAAGAUAUUCUGCAUGGCAUAAUGAUUCAGAAAAAGGAUACAUAACUCCUGGAAAUACUCAAGUUAGAAUAGAGAAAGGGGAGUUGCUAUCUGGUACUCUUUGCAAAAAGACUCUUGGGACGUCUGCUUCAUGUUAUAUGGUAUACAUUUUUCAGAAUUUUGUAAUUCUAUCCCCCCGCGCAGGUCUUGAAUGCAUGCACUCAGGGAUGGCUUUAUGUCGAACCCUAAACACUUUUCUGGAAAAUAUCCGUCUUGUUGCACACUGUGUGGGGCUUUCUAUCCUCCUGUUUAUCUGCGGAUGCUGUCAUUAGUUGUAUGUGAGGCGGAUGAGAUGAUAGCUGCAAAACUUAGGCUUUAUAAUUAUGUUACCCUAAGCAGAGUCAUUGUCAUUAUUCCCGUAGUUAACUUUGCCUCUGCAAACAGGAGGAGGUUGGGCCUGAUGCUGCUCAAAUAGAGAAAAUUAGCCUCAAGUAUGCUAUAAAAGCACUAGAAAUGCCAUUGUGUCUUUUUAUUUAAUUAAUGUGCAAUCCUUCUCCAGUAAAUAGAGUAGUAAUUAAGCAAUAGGAGUGAGUGUUCAUUUUAUUGUCAGUCUUCUGUCAAAAUUAUUACAAUUAGUUAGGACAACACCUUAGCUUUCGAUACCUCUCUAACCCAUAUGAAUAGACAGAUCUGUAUGCUUGCCUUGAUAUUUUGUCAAUUAUAAAUAAUAAUUACUAUGCCUCAAUCAAAAGGUGUUAGUUAUCUAUCUAAUUAUUUGUUUGAUGUUGUCUUGGUGAGUCGUUUGUUCUCUGAGUCAUCCUGGCUAAUAAGUACCAAAGUAUUUUUUGAUCAGAACUAUUAAAUUUCUCACAUAAGAUCUUCUCAUAUUUGGUUUCUCCACUUGUGGAUAAAAGCUGAAGCAACUCUAUUGCCAAGAGGAUUUAAUUUAUCUCUAAUUUUAGUUUUUUGUAAAGUUUGUUGGAGAUGAAGAGAUUUUUAUUCCUGUAGUUUUUUCAGAUGAUUUUGUUCAUUUAUAAAAGCUCUACACUCACUUAGAAAUGUUUCAAGCAUCUUUUAUCAGAGAUAUGAGGAAAUCAUGGUACCCUAGAAGUUUUUAUUUCGGGUCUUUGUAUCUUGCAUACAUGUACAUAAUUGAGCUUCGCAAUGAAAGACAUCACUAGGUGUUUCUAAUCCAACAAAUACUUAUAGAUUUGUCUUUACUGUCUGAGGGGUUGAUAUCUCUCUCACUGUCUCCUAUUUGUGAUGGUCCACUGAACUGUAGUUUUAAUAUCAAUGACGAGUAAAAGACAAGUCUUUAUAUAUACAGAUGGAGACUGAAAUAGUACAAAACGUCACGUACUCACCCCCGUCUCCAGACCAGAAUGCUCCAAACUCGAUCAACGCUGGCUACUGGUGCUCAGACCUGUAUCAUGAAAAUAGAUGCAGAGCGUAGCAUGAGUACCAAAUAACAAGUACCCAGUAGGCAUCAUAGGCCGAUUGAACUAGAAAAGUAAAGCAAUAUGAAAAGACGAAAUCACAUAACUAGCGGUCAAGAACGGAAGGCUAAGUAACACUAGAAUGAACACGAGUGUAAAAAGAUCUAACUAAAUUAACAUAAAUAAGCUAACUACACCUAACUGGACCCCCCAUAAGCCCAGAAGGCACACUCUUGCGCAAGUUUAAAUAAAAACCUGAAUGGACCCCCAUAAGCCCGACGAGUACACAGAAUAACUAUAACUAAGGAGAAUAAAACUCAAGGCCAAAGAACAUCGAACCAAAUGCUCCAAACCAAAUAGUAGAAUCUGGCGGUACGGAGGUCGGGCCUUAAAUCGAACGCUCACCAGAAUUACACAAGUAGCCAACCACAAAAUAUAAGUAACUGAGGUCGGACCUCUAACCGGAUGCUCUACAUACUUGAAGUCGGACCUCUAAUUCUACAUAAGUAUGUGGAUGGUCGAGGCCGGACAUUAAAUUGGGAUACCCGACAAAGAUGUCGAUAUAGCUGCUGAAAGAGUCUUCUAUCUAUCCAUAGUCAUAAAUACCCGUGGAACACUAUCCACACUUAGCUAAUCAAUGUAAAUCCUUGAACCCGAAUUGAAAAUUAACUUUGAAUUGCGGAGCGAAAUUCAUUGUCGCCGACGUAACUCGUGAAGCCGUAACAUCGAAGAAAUAAUGAUAACUAUCGUCGGAGCGAGCUCAUCAGACUCAAGUCUGCUACACCAGUCUACAAGGAUUUGAUCCAGCCGAACCACGUCGGGGCUAAACUAAGUCCUACCGACUUCGAAUCAUGCAUUUCUAAGGCAAACCAUUGUCAAACCUAAACUAAGGCCCAACAUACUUCUGAUAACCAGUAUUCAAACAUACAAGUACUCCAUAUAGCAAAGAAGGUCAAUUAACAACAAUAAACAUACUCACAGUUAUCCGACAAUUCUCAGAAAAAGGCCGAAAAUAUAAACACCUAUGCAUGAUCCAAUAACUACCCCAAAUCCCAACUAAUCAACAUGUGGAAGGGUCAUUUUAGGCUAAUAGCAUUGUCAGCAUGGCUCCCGAAGUUUUCAGUGUGAGUUGGUGCAAUUAGGCGUUUUAACUUUAAGUUUAAGGCUAAGUUUGACUUUAAUCAACAUUCUGAGUAAACGCACUCAGAUGAGAAUUUCGUCAGCGCGGCUAGUUUCGAAAUGUCGAGUUUGGUCUAAUUUGACCCUUCUUUCGUGUCCUGAGGUUUUCGAUAUUUUUCCGAGUCUUUUUGUGAUUUUUGACUUAAAAUGGCAAUGUAAGAGGGACCCACAUUUUUCUGAGCCCUUUUGUGAUUUCUGAUGUAAUCUUCAUUUAAGGGCUCACAAAAUAACCAAAUGAACGACCAGGCGACCGAUUUAUCAGUCCCAACAAGUCAUAAAUGACAUGGAAUCCCUAUCCUGAGCCGGUGUCGCGGCCCUACCUCAACCUCGAGGUCAGCCUCUACCCCAAGAUGGGGCUCUUGGUGCAUCACCGGCGGUCGCAUCACCUCGCGUGCGAGGCAUCCUCCAAUAGACUCGAUAUCACAUCCACCAAGAAAUAUGGUUCUCAGAUCACCCACCCAGCCAGGGUAUGAUUUUUGAUUUGCUAAUCAUUAUUCACUGAUAGAGGACAAGCACUAUAUAUACUCGAUGAAAUUAAAAACCAGUCUUACGAUUCUUCUACUUCAUUUUAUUUUCUUGAUCAGACCACAACACAAUACUCCUCAUAAAAGUAUAUAUAUUCAUCUUCCAGAAGAAAGAUAACAACAUUCCAGGAUUUUUCAGAUAGGAAAUCAUCAUUGCUUUCAAAGUUGAUGACCUUUGUACUAUUACUAUAUAACAACAACAAGAAGAAAAAAGUGCUUGCUAGUUGCUAACCUCCAUCUAAUCGUAUAUACAGAGCAAAAAAAUUGCAUCAGAUGGAGGAAGAAAAAAGAAAGCCAUGAGGUUCCUACACAUCUAACUAUGAACCGAAAAGACUGCAAAAGGCUUCCAAUUAUCUUAUGAGAUGCAUCUCAUGGAGUACAUUGUAACAGGUGAGUCUACGGCAGGCGCAUCGCCAUAGACCCUGGCAUGAUCACUCUCCAGGCCAUAGUCCAUCAUCGGACGGUACUCAAGAUCUUCAUCAUGAUCGUACACAAAUUCUGGCAUCCCAAUCUCAUUCCUCCUCACAUGCUCCCACAGAUUAUCAACCCUGCUCACAUACCUCAAUUUCCCAUAUAACCUGUGCACAGUAACUCCCAGUUAGAUCUCUUCCUUGUCAAUACACAGAUAAUAUAUUAUAGAAAGAUAUACUAUUUGUUUGAAAAUUGGAUCCAGGUUUCCAAAAAAAAUGUAAUGUGUCUUAGGAAUUGACAUUCUUACCCUCCGCUGAAGAUGAAGCGACCAAAUGUGGCAAGGAAGAGCCUGGCUUGAAGACCAGGGUGAAGAAAGUAAAUAGCCUCCAGAUUCUCUCGGACUUUCACCGGAAUCGCAUCGUAGAACGAUCGUAAAGCUGAUACUCCGGGGAAAUUCUCGCUUUUCUCCACAUCGGUGUGAACAUACACCACGGCGAACGGCCUUUUCUCAAGUUCCGGAAAGAUCUUCUCCGCUAAAUACUUGUUCACAACUUCAACACUCAGAUUUCUAGCUGAUUAUCCACAAUCAAAAACAAAUCCACAAUUCAGACCAAAAUCUCAACAAGAAUAAUCAAGAAAACGAUACAUAAAAAAAAAAUAGGUUACCAGGAAAGAAUUUUCCGAUGAUGCGCAAAAUUUUGCGGCCACGUUUAUCUCUGCCUUGGAUCUUGAAUAUUUCGAGUUUCUCUAUAUGCUGUUGUUGUUCAACUUCUGUAAACAUGGUUUUUUGAAUCUCGAUUGUUGCAAAAGCAAAACGCUACGUUUGUUGUGGGAUGAGAUAUGAGAAAGAAGGGCGGAGAGGAUUUAUAUAGUGAAUGAGGAAAGGAGAAGAUGGGCGGUGUGAUGAAAGAGUAAUGUUAUCCAUUUAGGGAGGAGGAGAGGAAUAUUAGGGGAAUAUUCGUAAGGAUCUUCCGUUUUGUAGGUGGGACCGAAUUUUUUUCCUUGUGUUUAUCAUUGAGACACUCCCCGUGAUCCACUGGAUCACUCGUGGGACCCGUUCUUCCGGAUUUUGGAUCAAUUAUUAGCCCUUUCUUUUUUUUUUCUUUUCUUUAUUCCCUACUAUUAUUACAGUCCAUUAUUUCUCGACUAGAGGGUAGUAUUAUUAAUGUAUAAUCAUAUGAUCUAUCAUUAAUUAGAUGACACAAUUCUAGUUUAUCGAAAAAAUUAUUGUUUUAGUUAACAGUAAUUAAGUUUAGGAAAAGUCCUUUAGUCAGAAUUGUCUUUUACCUAUAUUAUUUUGCCAUUUUUUAAAUUUGUUAUCUUUUUCAUUUUAAUAUUUUUUAAUUAAAAAAUAAAAAAUAUUAAUUUACUUCAAAAUUUAAAAAAAAAACAACUAUAAAUUCUUAAAAUUUCUGAUCAUUUAUUAUUAUUUGUAAGUUUAUUUCUUAUUAAUUAUACACCAAACACCAAACUAUAAAUUGUUAAAGAUAAAAGAGGCUAGUAGACUGACUUUUGUGAUUUUCUUAUGCCAGUUUUAUCUUCUUAAAAGACUUCUUCUUGAAAUAUUAUUAGUUCGUGGAGGUAUUAUUUAAUUAAUAAUUAAUGUUUUUUUUAGUUUAAAGAGUAUUUUGAAAUUUAAUGAGAUUUAUUUGAUUACAUUAAAAUUAUUUAAUUAUUGUAUUUUACUAAUUUAUGUAUCAUAUUUAUUGAAUUCACAUAAAAAAAUUAUUUUUAUAUAAAAUACAAUGAAUGUAUCAAAAAUAAAAAACAUUGUAUCUUACUAAAUUAUAUCUCGUAUAUUGAAUAAUUAUUAAAAAACAUUAUACACAUUACAAUGUGUAUGUAUGAUUCAUUAUAAUAUUUCUUUAGAUUAAAUGAUUCAUUGUAAAAUAAAUUCAAUGAUCCAUUAUGACAACUUUCACAUAUAGCAAACAAAAAAUUCAUAUUUGUAUAUUAUAGCAAAGUUUGCAUAAUUGCGCUCCAUAGCAAACAUAAAACUGUAUAAUUCGCUAUACAUAUACAAUUGUAUAAUUUGUUGGCCUAAAUUGUAUAAUUCGCUGGCCUAUUUUGCUGCAAUUGUAUAAUUCGCUAUCCUAUUUCACUGCAAUUGUAUAAUUCACUGCCUAUUUCGUUGCAAUAUUUUUAUAAAAUUUGCUUUGCAUACAAUUGAAUCGAAUUAAAAUAUAUGUAUAUUGCAUAAUUAUAAGUGUAUAACAAGAAGAUAUAUGUCUGUCUCUCGCUUUAUACAAAAACAGAAACACAAUAUAUACACUUUUGUUGUAUAAAGCUAGAGAAAAUUGUAUUUCACUGCAAUUGUAUAAUUCGCAAUUGUAUAAUUCGUUGACCUUUUUCUCUGCAAUAUUUGUAUAAAAUUUGCAUUUGUCUACAAUUGAAUUGAAGUAAAAUGUUUGUAAAUUGUAUAAUUAAGUGUAUAACGCGAAGAUAUAUGUUUUUGUAUGUGUAUAUAUAAUUUUCUCUCGCUUUAUACAAAACAGAAACAAAAAUUAUACACUUCUGUGUAUAAAGCGAGAGAUGCAAGAAUGAGAGAGUGGCGAACGAGACUUUUGGUAGAGAGGCGCCUGGCAAAUUUUGGCUAACGUUUGCUAUGGAGCACAAUUAAACAAAUAUUGGCUAACGCUUGCUAUGGAGCACAAUUAAAUCAAACCCUAGCUACUCUAUUUACUUUAGGUUAUUAGUUUGCUAUUAUAUACAAUUGUCCCUAAAAUAAAUUCAUUAUACAUAAUAUUAUUUGCUUCUUAAUAAUCAAAUAUUAUUCAUUAUAUCUUCACUAAAAAAAUUCUAUGUAAAAUAAUGAGAUAAUAAAUUAUAUAAGUAAUAUAGAAAUUUCUUGAAACCAUAUAAAAAAUGACUUCUCAUUUAAAAUUGGGAAUUGAUUGUUGAUCCCUCGAGAAUCAUUAUGUUGGACUAUAAAAUACCUAGAGAGAGAAGGUUCUCGUAAGUUUCUCAGUUAUGAAAUAUUCCCUCGAAUUCAUAUUAAUUGAAUUUGUAAAAGAAUGCAUACUUAUUAACAAAAGCAAUCAAGGAUAUAAUUUAAAGGGAUGAAAGUAUAUAAACUUUGACUGACAUUGUUAUAAUAAUAUCAAAUUUUCAAAAGGAUCUUUUGCAGUAUUUAAUAGCGUGUUUUAAAGGUAUAUAUAUGUCCACGUACUGGACAUCAGAAAUAUUGCAUCAUUGUAAAUAGUAUGUGUCCACUUGAGCACGAUAUGCUUUUAAAAUACACUAUUAUAUAGUGCAUGGAAUAAAAGGUUCUCCAUAAAUUUUGAUAUCGUAACAACAAAUUCAAUUAAAAGUGGAGUAUUUUCAAACUCUUUUCCCUAAUUUAAGCCAUAAAAUUUCAAUAUUGCCCGUUGUGGAAUCAUAAUAUUAGUGUAGUUUAUCUUUUCUAAAAAAAUUAGUGUAGUUUUUCCUUUAGAAAAUAUAAAAUUGUAAUAAAUAAGAGGACAAAUAUGAAAAAAAUUCAAACAUCCAUCCUGAACUUUGAACAAUGUAAAAAACUUAAAGAGAUCAAUUAAUAUGGAAUAGAGGAAGUAACUUUACUCGAGUCUCCCGUUCAACUCAAAAUUCUCGAGCCGCCGUAAGCAUCUCUCUUUUAACCAUGUCUCGAACUCUGGUUCGCUCUUUUAUUAGGUUCGGUUAUUGCUCUCACACAAUUAUUACUCUCUCUAUUUAUUUUUAUUUAUUAAUGUUUGACUUAAUGUCCAUUAAUAAAAUAACUAUUAAUAUAAAUAUUUUAUUAAACUAUUCAUGUUAAAUAAUGUUUGUAUUAAGUCUUAUUUAAUACUAAGAAUAAAACACAAGAAAAAAUAAAUUAUCUUUUCUUAAUAUAUUAAAAUGACGAAUAAUAUUUUUUUUUAAAAAUAAAUAACAAAUAAAAAUAAUUUGAGAAAGCAAUUCUAUAUUUAAUCAUAUAGAGCAUCUGACUAAUCAUAGACCACUUGACUAAUUGGUGAAACAACUCUAAUGUUAAUAAUGAAAUAGUAUUAACGCACGCACUCAUAUAUUAUUAUAUCACAUAUAAAACAAGCAAUCUUAGAAUAGUAUUAGAAGAAGGCCUAUUAUUCAACUGAUAAGAAGAAUUAAUUUCUUGAAAUAAAGUAUGAUGUAUAAAUAAUCUUCACCAAUAAAAUUACGAAAGAAGGAUUGGCCACUGUCUCAAACGUAUGUGCUAAAUUUCUUUCUUUUUUUUUUUUAAUCAUUUGAUUGGCACAAUCUACGGUAUACUGCAAGAGUAAGUUUGUCUCUUCAUAACAAAUUCCAUUUAAUAAGAGAAAUUUUGUUGUUAAAUAAAACUAAUAAAAUAAUAAACACUUUUGUGUUCUUUGGAAGUAGUGGGUAUAAUAAUUAAGUAAAUGUUGCAUAAACUUUAUACGAGUGGUUUGUAAUUUGCCCAUAGUAUUGUACUAUAAAACAAUGAAAGAAAAUCACCCACCAUACUUCUCCUUGUUUUUUCCCCCCAUGAAUUAUCACAGUAAUCUAAAAGGCUAAUGUGUCAACCAAGAUCAUAAUCCAUGGGCUCAGUCAAUCAUUUGGUUUUCAUUUUAGGGUAAAAACGAACAUAUUAAAUCGAUUGUUAUUGAUUAAAAUAUUGUCUCAAGUUUAAUAAUGAUGAUUAUUGGUUUUCUUUUAAUGUGAGGAUUUAAUAUAGCUAAUAAUCAAUAAUUGAUUUUAGAUUUGAAGCAUAAUGUGUUUGAUAGUAGUAUAUAUAAAGGUACAUUAACAUCAUUAUAAGCAUAAAGUUUAUUCAUAUAGAGCCGGCUUCUUUAGAGAUAAUUAGUGAUGUUGCAAAUUGCAUUAGAGAAUGAUCCAUGCCGAUUGCCAAACAAGUUGAUUUUAUAUUCAAAUUAAGGCACUAGCAAGUUGAAUAAGCUAUUAUGUUUGAAUAAUUCAAGUCAAGAGAAGGAAAUUCAAUUAGAAGAAAGAAGUAAAAGACAGAAAAAUUAAAGCAUAAGACCGAAAAAGAAAUAUAUUAGCACUAAUUUCCCUACCUUUAGUACGUUGUUGACCACUUUUAUUGAAGAUAAUGAUUGUACAUUAUUAAUCUUGGUCCCUAAUUAACCUGCAUUUUCUAAUACGUUAUUCCAAUAGAUAAUAAUUAAACAAAGCCCAAAAGCACUGCACUACAACAUAAGAAAUGGAAAAUGAUGAAACAUCAAAUUAUCAUAUUGGAAUAUUUUCAACCAUAUAGAAUUAAUCAUAAUCAAAUUGGCAAAUACUGCUUUAGCACGAUUAUAUUUUAGAGCCCUCUUGUUAUAUCUUUAUUUCAUCAAAUGAGAAGUCAGAAUAAGUAGUCAAUUUUGGUUUAUAAAUACAAAAAAAAAAUUAAAAAAAAAUAUAUAUAUAUAUAACACAACUAGGUUACAAUAUUUUCAUGAUGCUCUCGUGUACGGGUUCCUUUCUUUGUCCAAGAUUGACAACUUUGAACGGAAGAUCUCUUAAUCAAAGGGGUAGAAGGUUCGCAACCCUUUUUUGGUCAAGUUUAUAGCAUAAAAUUUGUCGAUUUUUUUUUUACGGAAAAUUUCAUGCCAAAUGUAUUAAAUUAUUUUGUUAAAUAUAAUAUUUGAAUGUGCCAUAUAUAAUGUCACACUUGAACAAUUAGAAAAACGAAUUCACAAUAAAAUUAAAGUAGAAUGUAGAGUAAAAUUAUUACAAAAUUAUAGAGUGCAGAGUAAACUGAGCAAUAAAUAAGAUAAAAUGAGAGAGUAAAAAAAACAUCAUCUCAUCGAAUCAAAAUUUACAUAAAAUGAGAUUUUUACUUUACUUAAUAAGUUCACAAUACAAUAAAAUUUAAGCAGCAGUUAAAAUAAAAAUUAUAUUUUAACGGACAAUGUAAGUACAUAACAUAAUAUAGAUAAUAACUAUCAACCUUCCAAACAAUGCAAGAAUACUAUUCUAGAUUCAGAUGUAAAUUUGGAUCUAAUUAUAAUUCUUAUCUUUUAUAUUCAAGAUUACUUAACGUUUAGUCUGUGCUUUUCCUGUUUUAGUGCAAAUAGUCAGGAUGAGUUUCACUAACCUUUUCUAUUAACUUUGGUUUAGCUAAUAUGGCUUACUUAUGGUACCCACGAGUCGGUUAAUAAUGAUCUCCCACAUCGGACGGAUGAAGACAACGUUCCAGAAAGGAGGCAUAUAAUUACAGAUAGCAGAUUGUGGUGAAAGUUAUCUUUGCGCUUGGGGCAAUGACGCAGCUAGUGAGGUUCUAACCGAGGCGCGUCUAUUGCUGGUUGAAAACUAUUUCCAAACCCCCUCAUUGGCCUGGGCUCCGCCUUGGCCAUUGAGAAUUUUUGAAAGGGCUUCCCUUCUGGGAUAAGCCCUACAAUUCAAGUCUAAGUUUUUCAUUUUAAUCAAUCGUAUCAAAACGGUAAUCAUAUCUCUCAGUUCAAAGUAUAUCAGAAAAGUAGCUUUUUCGACGUAAUAUAGCAGCAUAUGAAGGUAAUGCCCGUAAACUAUUUGAAGGCGACACAAUUUAGAAAACACUCUAAGAGAAAAGGGCAAGAGGAAAUGAAAACAAAGGAGAAGAGGAACUGGACAUUGAAAGAAAAACGGAAUAAAUGGUAAAUGGAAGGAACAAUAAAACAGAUAUCUUUAUUAUAUACCCAAUCAUAUUGGCUUUAAAAUGAAUGAUAUUUAACCAAGUUUUGCAGAUGGAAAGGUUGUGAAAUCACUCCUCUAGGCUGGCUGGCUAACAAACUCUAGCAAAGGUGUGAAACUAAAAUGAGAGGUUAACUGAAUUAAACUUAUACCAAAUGCAACAAACAAAUUGUAAAUUGCUAUCAUUCCGUAUGCUCUAAAAGCAAAACGACCAAAACUUCAAAAUAACGAUCUCUUGCUACAUCUUUAGUGAAGGUAUUUUUAAGCAUGGAGCUAUGAAUAAGCCAAGUGCUUUGCCUGAUGAUGAAAGGCUCUACAAGUACCGAAUAUGGCUAAAUACACUACUAGCUCGAAAAUUCCUCCCCCAGUGAAUUAGGAGGUAUAUGAUCUGAUUCCUCAUCUCUGUUUGACUUGUUUCUUUGAAGAGGCACGAGAUGACUGUUGGAAGACGGGACUAUAUGUGUGUUGCUGAAUAAUAUUGAUAAGAACGAAAGUAUUUGCAGCCAAGAACAGCAAACCUGCCACCCAGAGUUGAAGAAAGACAUUCUUUCCUUUAAAUUCAAGCAAAUAACCCCACAAUAACCAGUGACCCUGAGCUGCCAUCCACAACAAGAUGCAGACCAGUCCUUUUCCUCCGAGCUUCAUGUUGGUCCAUGGCAGGAUUAGUGGCAAGAGACAGAAGAACCAAACAAAGUAUUGAGCAGUCAUAACCUGUCAGAGGAAAAGAACGUUAUCUUGCUAAAGGAAAAUCAAGCUAAUAUUCACUGAUUCUCAACAUAAAAAAUAAUCAAGCCUUGCCAACAAACCUUGUUAAAUGCGACAAAUGCCACAGUCUGCACAAAGAAGCAAAAUGGAAAAUCUUGUGCAAAGCGGAAAACAAGAACUAGCUGCACCAUAAUCUGAGGCAGAAACGAGACGAGCUUUUCCAAGAUAGAUAACUCAUGUUCAUAGUGCAGAUAUAUAUGGUAGAAAUAAAUUGAGAAAUUGUGCCUAGGGUCUGUACGUGUGAGAUGAUAGAGCAGUGCUUCAUGCAAGAAAUCGCAGCCAUAUAAAAAGAAGAAAAUCCCAGUAAGGAGAAAGAACAAAGCUCCAGAAAUAAGCCCAAACAUUAUCCUCCUCCAGGUAAAAAGGCUUGUUAAAAAGUUGCACAUACAACAAGGAUCCAUAAGCUUUUUACAGCUGGAAGUCUGCUGUGACUUACUUUUUCUAGAACUCCAAUUCACAAGAGCAGGUUUUGUACCAUACUGGAAGAACAAGGGAUCAAGAACUAAAAUGAUUGGAAGAGCAUAAAUUAUUGGAUAGAUCCUCAUGUGGACGACAAGCCCAUACCAAAAUGCAGCUUGUACUAAACGACCUGAUCAGGGAAACAUCACCAAAAUCAAUAGAGCGUCAAGAUUUAUAACUUCCAAAGAAAAAAUGAAACCACAGUUCCCAUUAACCCAAGUGGAAAUACAGUUAUCUGACCCAAAAUAUCGGAGGAUUCUUGGAAAAAUUCUCAAUUAAAAAGAGUUUAUUGUUUAACCCUAUAAAGUUCCAGAGUUAACAUUCUCGGUUUCUACUUUCCCUUUAAACUAAAGGUUCACUAUAACUUCAAAUUGCAUAAUAACUAUGAAAAGAAACAGAGGUAGAUUCAGGGCAAAUCUUGUUUCAUGCUUUAUUGAGAAAUCAAGUAAAAGAUGAAUAUUCAGCUUACAUUGAUUGGUUGCUAAAACCUCAUUCACUGUCCGAUAAUUUUGUGUUGGGCCUAUACACCUAACCCUGUGGAGGAGUGGGAGAAAGACUCAAUCUUGAUCGGUGUUCAAUGAGAAUACCUUCUUUUUUACAGUUUCAUCACUUAAAUCAUGAUUCCCCUAAAUACUUCCCCUUCCAUCUGCCCCCCUCUUUACAGUCAUUUACAUUACCCCCAAUAAUAUUGUAAGGUAGAUUAAGGAGACAGGAACCAUUUUGAAAGAGAUAAUAACAGAGAAAAUAGCAGUAGGGAAAUAAACUAUACAUUGAAAAAGAAAAAUUUAGGAGUAAGUUCUCAAUAUAACUAUAUUAAAUGUAAUUAGAAGGUACUGAAAGUUUUACCAUUCAUUAGACAUAGAAUAAUCCAAAGGAUUAUGGCACAGAUGAUGGGCUCACAAUUCCCACGAGUUCCAAUGGUAAAGGUAAAUGGAUUCAAAAGCCAUACCAUCACCGAAUAGGUGCAUAAUUUCUCAGGCACCCCUCUUAGCUUUAGAAUGGCGUUGAUAAGAAAUCCCACGAGAAGAUCUGCCGCACGAACUCAAUGUAAGUUUCAUUAAGCAUAUCUGUUUUGGAAACAUAAUUAAGAUGUCUUCUAAGAAUAUCAAUUAUGCAUUUUUUGCAAUAAGAAGAGACAAUAAACCCACAUACAAGAGUGCAAGUUCAGAAGCUAUUUGUCUACUCUUAGAUUGAUCAUCUACAAGUUCAUGCCCUAAUCAACAAUUCAUCCAGUCUUUAGUUAUACAUCCACAACAACCCCAAAGAUUGCCAAUGAAACCUAAGCAGAUAGAGAUGCAAAAAUCUCUUGGAAACCAUAUACAAGGAGCAUUUGUAUGAGGAAAAACAAGAAUUCCAAAUGAGUCAAUUAAAAAUGGAACCUUUGCGUUGUCUUGAAAUUAGAACCUAACAAGAGCUUAAUACAAAAGUAGGAUUUCAUGUAUCUGUCUGUUCUCACAAAUAAUAAACCCAAAUCAUACGAAAAUUGUGAAGCUCAGACUUCUUCAUCAUUCAACGGGAAUAAAAAGAACCCACAAAAUUGAAGGGACAAAGAAAGAAAAAAAGAAAAAGAGAAGAGAAAGGGAAAAUCUCACCUGAAGCGGAGAAGAUAAACUUUCCCCAAGAAGGAUGAACGAAAGAAUUGGGCACAAGAAGAAAAGCAAUCAAGGGAGAGUAACGAUAUGUAGAUCUUUGAUAAGGGGAUUUUCCGGCAGCAACUAAAGCAGCUGCAUCUGAGAAAACAAGAUAGUCCACAUCUGUGUAUCGAACCUCCAUAUGGGUAUCUUGCCAUUCUCCAUAGAUUAUCAAAAACACCCUAAGAAAGGCUGAGAAUAUCAGCAGCGACUUCAGAUUUACAGUCACCAUCAUUCAGGAACUGAUCGCUCAAUACCCAAAACAACAGAGGAAGGUCUUUUUAUUUAUUUUUUCUUUUAAAAAACAAAACAUUAUGACUUUCCACAAUUCUGUUUCAAUUAUUUCAAGAAUUAAAUUUCACUAAAUAUAAAAAAUUCAGAGUUUGGAUCUUGAAUAGAGUCAAACAUGGACCCUUUUUUAAAUAAAGCAAAGUUAAUUUUGAACUAAAUCAAUCUAGUAUUGAAUUUGGGGUUUUCAUGUUCAAAAGUAAACUUUUAUUAAAUAUUUAACUACAAUAUUAAACUCACCAUUCAAUUAAGCGCUCUAUUUUUGCUUUGACACGAUUAUUAAAAUUUCAAAAUAAGAAAUGAUUUGUAUUUUUUAAAAGAAGUUAAGUAUUUCAAUUGAUGUUCUUGAUCACAAAAUAAUGAAUAUUAGUAUUGAUAAGUUUAGAGAAAAAAUUCCAAGUCAGUUCCUCCUUAAUAUAAAAUAGAUUUUAGCUAAUAAUAUACAUUGUACACUAAGAUGAAGAAGUGUUGAAUAUUUUCAGAAGUCACCAUGUACUCUUUGAAAUUGACUCCUAGAGUAAAUUUCAUCCAAGGUUUCAAAAAACGGUCACCAGCUACCCAUAUUUUAAAAAACUACAAAUGCCAUCCAAGGUCCUAAUAGCUACCAAAAACAACAUCUCUAUCCCAUAAGGUUGUUGGGUACGAUUUGCUUACUCAUAUCACAUUCGACAUACAUCUCUACUCCUUCAAUCUGUGUCGUCUUCACUUUAGAAAACAUUUGUAAAUAGGAAAUUAACCAGGGAAAUUCAUUUCAAGAGUUGAUCAUUCACAUUAUGGGAUACAAUCACUCUUACAUACAAAAAGAAUAAUCAUGAGAUACUUUUUCAUCUUCAGAUUACACUUGCCAUUAGAUUGUCCUCACAAUGGGUUCAGAUUAGGGAAAAAGUUAUCGCCAAAGUUUGGCAUAGGAUAAAAAUAAGAGAAAUAGACUUUCAGGGGGAAAUUGGACAUGUACAACUUUAGAACAAAACAUUGUGGGUAAUAGGAUUUGCUUGAUAUAUUUACUCAGAAGAUGAUCCACUCGGAUCCUUCACUUUAUCAUACUACCUAUUCAGUUUUACUAACAUAAGAAGGUAAUUACAUUAUGAAACUAAGUAAAUACCAGAGGGCAGUUAUAAGAAUUCAUAAACUUAGAUAUCCUAAGAGUAUGUGACUGUUGAUCAACAGAGCUCAUUUAGCCUCAGUAAGUUCUUCUUUCAUAUCGAAACCAGACAGUGCAGCCAGCUCUGAAAGCUUCUUCUCUCCGCUAAGAACCUGCCAGAAUAUUAUAGUUAUAAGGUCCCUCACAGCAAGAUGUUCAUUUUCUUAUCGAACGUGUGAAUGACUGGUGCCUUUUGUAUAGGUUACAAAAUAUUUUUCUAGCAUGAAGAAGGUUCUUGCUCACCUCCCCAUUGAUAACCCAUGUAGGGAACCCUUCGAGUUUUGCUUCUUGACAUGCAUUGAUCAUAGAAAUUCCCCUCUUAAGUCCAUAAGGAAAGCAUUCUACAUAGUCUAGUAACUUUGCUGCUUCUCGUCCAAACAUCUUGUUGCAGUGACACAAGAAUAUACCAAUUUAGUACAGAAUACAAGCCAACUCUUACCUAUACUGCUAAGUGCAUAAUGCAAAUCAGAAUUUCUAGUGGGAUCUUUAAGGCCAUUUUUUAUAUUCUUAAUGUUUAGUUGCAAUAUUGACAAACAGUUGGGGUCAGAACUCUGAGUAUCUGCUUCUGACCUUUAAAGAUUAAUCCACAGAAGCUCUUAGCCAAAUUCCAGCACCAGUAUACGAAAGAAGGAAAUAUAAGGGUCUCUCUUUUUCCCUUUAAUGAUGCUCUUACUUAUUUUACGGAAGACGUUAAUAUUCAACCCAAUAGUAGUUGAUGCAUAUUCAUAUUCUUCCCUACCCAUAUCAUGUUUUGUCUUUUCCCUUAUAGAAUGUUACUUUAGGAAUGUAGCAAUCAGACAACGUGGCUGGAGUCCAAUCAACAUCCACGCUUCACCCUACCUACAUCAUGUCAGAUUUGAUAAUGGGGAAAGAUUUUACUUUCCCAUUUUCUAUGUAUGCAAGUAUUUCUUUCUCUGAAUCUUUUUUUUUGCCUAAUGAAAUGAUGUCACUAUGCCAUUGAGGCAACCAAAAAGGAAAUAAUUUUAGAAAAAACAUCAUUUUCAUAUGCAGUUUUUUUUUUUUUUUUGAGAAACCCAUCAAAAUGCAGUACUAAGAAAGCACAUUUGCAAAAGAAAGAGAACCUGCUUUUGUUCCUGGCAGUGAGAACACCAGAAAGCCCCAUACAUUUUUGCCCCAAUUGAAUGCAGGUGUUUCGCUAGGGAUAUAGCAAAAGGUGUAGACUCUGAUGUGAUCUCUGCUGUAAAGUAUUCCAUCUCAGCCAGAGCAGAACUGCAAAAGAUGGGAAAAGGAUUUUGAGUAAUUGUUCUCUUGAAUAACGUGCAUGAUCUUUUCACCAACUAUACAUUUCAGAUGAUCUAGAGUUUUACCUGUGACUAAAUGACUGCACAUCAAGAGCUUUUCUAUCUUAAAAUGACCAAGAUAUCUUGUUGCUGCUAAAUCUAGAAACUGAAACAAGCUUCUCUUACUUGCUUUAAGAUUCUAGCUUAAAUAAUUCAUGGAAAGUUUUUAUACAAGUUAAUGUGAUUAUCUCUUUAAUCAAUGCCAAUCAAACAUUCACUACUUAAUGCAAAAAAAGAAACUCUUGCCUAUUGUCCUUUCAAUCCAAAGACACUUUGCCUAAUAUCAUCCUACAAUGUGUAAAUGUGUACGGAUUGUUUACCCUGUGUUUGUAGGCUGAGAGUCACUGUAUGAAUUGUUUAGGGUAGAAACCACCAAGAGAACUAUAAGUAACUGUAUACCCACAUCUUUUUGCACCUCUUGAAAGCCCAAACCCUGUAUAUAAAAGAAAUAUCUUUGUCACUACCAUUGCAUAUAGCAAUAGAAGCUAAACAAACAAGUCUGUAGUAGAGAUAACCUUCAUACUGCUGAUGAACAAACUAAAUGACAAUAAGACAGAAGCUAAACAGUACGGACAAAAUUCCCCAGUGAACUUUGUGCUUAGGAUGUACAAGAAGUAUGCACUGGCAGCUGCCAUGGAAGUAGUUGUUCCAAGUAAAACCAAACGCCCAUUAGCUUCACCAGUUCCAAGAGGCCUGCUUUUCUGGCCCAAUUGUAUCCCAAGUAUUGCAACUACUCCAUAAGCAACCAUACCAAUUAAUGGAAGAGGAACACCUGGCAAAUGAAAAAGGAUGAAAACUGAAUCUUUUUCCAAACAUAUUACCUGCAAUUUAAGUGACAUACUGCCUUCAAUUUAAUGAUUUUCCAAUCUGUGUCUUUCAGAUCAAACAAUACAGCUUACAAUGUAACAAAAUUAGCACUGCAUUAGUUAUUAAGUCUGACAACAAAAUACACUACUAUAUAUUAUAAUGUGCUACCUCCUCUGUGAUAUGUAUGAUUACCAUCAAAAGGAGUUAUAACAUUUUGUUAGAAGAACAAAUCACCCCAGUGUUUUUUUUUUUGACACGAUAAAGGUCGAACAAUUCACCUGUGUGUUAUGCACACUAUGCACAUAAAGUAUAUGAGAGAUUUACGAGCAAUUAGAGCCCAAUCAGUACGAGGAUUAGGUGUUGCUACUUCCAGGAAUUGGUUUAUGUUGAGGCCUCACCACUAUGAGAUAAAAUGGGUGCAACUUACAGCAAUGUUUACUGUCAACAUCUUCUUGUCAAGUAUGUUGGACCAAUUGAUAUUGGUUUUUCUAAUUCUGGCUCCACACUGGAGUUUUGUAACCUCACUGCAAUCAAUGUGUGCCGGCUUAUUGUAACACUGAGAUAGGGAAAAGUCCUUUGAUUCAUCAAUGAGUACUGGAAUUGGAGUGGGUGGAAAUGACGGUGACCUUAUGGAGGCGAAUUGGGUACAGCACAGGUUUCUCAGUCCGAUUGCAUUUCUAGGCAUCCCAUUCAUUGAUAAUUCAAACUAUCUACCUUACAGAGUCUCAUUUGAAGACAACCGAAGAUCAUGUAACUUAAAAAAAGGCUAUUAUCAAACAUAUGCUGGUCUAAUUAACAAUAGAUUUCUUCAGCUAAUAACAUCUUGUGUUUAGUAAGGUUUCUUGAAACCAACUUCAUAUUAUGUCCUAAAUUAAUGUUUUAAACAAGCAUAACUUACUCUCUCCAUGUACAACAAUAACAACAUCUAUGUUUUCCUAGUUAGUUGGGUCAGCUAUAUGAACUGCAAAGUUAACAUGCUUUGGCUGGAGUAGUACUGGGAUGGGGUUAUCCCCGGGGAAACUCUGAUUGUGCGAGCUUGCUCUAUAGCUAAUUGCAGGCCCGGAUAAAGGAGGAAGGUUACGCUAGCUUGACAACCCAUAUAGAACUAAUUAAUUUACUACAAUUACUUGCAAUACAACAAAUUUACUAUCACCAUUUAAAAUUAGAAGCUUUACCAUUGUCAUCUUUGUAUGUUUCAUUACAAAGGAUAUGUUUUCAGAGAUAUUAUACUACAUAAAUAGAUGUAUUCCUCUAUUUAUUCUUCCAAACAAUAUUUUCUUACAAACAAAUAAAGCAAUCCUAUUGCAUUACAUGGUCUUCUAUACAACAACAUUACCUAAUGUAAUCCCAAGUGCGGUCUGGGGAGGGUGGCGUACCAUGUACAUCAGAUCUUUCUCCUACCUCAAGAAGGUAGAAUUAUGUGUUCUUUACUAAAAUCUUAAAAAGGGCUUCUUCAACUUCUUAGUCAAAAUAAGACACUAAAUUGAGGUAAUAGGGAUAAAGAUUAUUAUGUCUGGUACGUACAUAAUUCAUAAAGAGAAUCAAACAAGAGGCUAGUCAUAAAAGAGAGACGUGAAUUGGUUAGACUUUGCCAAAACCCUAAAAUAGAAAUUGUAUCCAAUCACUUCUUCAGGUUCCCACCAAUUUUACUUGUACAGAUGUGUUAAUAUCUUCAUAUUAUUCUUUUAAACAAAAAUUUUAGAUAUAUACUUAUAGAAGGUUACAAAGAUAGUCCUAAAGCAGAAAGUUCUUUUAAAGUCCAGAUUUCCUAAAAAUAGCACGGGAUAUUACCAAAUACAGCUGAGUAGCUGCUGUUGAGGAUGUCGCCACAGCUGGCACCAUCACCAACAGGACAAAAUGCUGCAGAGUUAGUUAACUUGAGGAACGUCAAGUAAGAAGUCUCAAGAAACCCAAUCCCACCAAGAGCUGCACACCAAUUGUAUGCUGAAAUGCCUGUAUCAGCAGGAGUAUCUGGCAAUACCACCUUAGAUUCUGAUUCUGUCUCUGCAUCUCCGACCUGCCUUGAUGAGCAGUUCACUCGAAGCAACAACAGUCGCCGAACCGAAUCUCUCUUUAAGAAUCAAGCAAUAAAAAUGUCAACAUUAGAGAAGAAGAAAAAAAAAGUGAAUCUUGAAGAGAUGAAGAGUAACUGUACCUUGAGUUGAACGAGAGAAGAUAUGGAAUUAGAGCGAGAUGGAAGAAGAUGAGAGGUCUGGGUUGGAAAAGGAGAAGAUGAUACGCCGAUGAUACUGGCCAUCAGCUCAGAAUUGGAUACCACCGGCCGUGAGUAGUGGUGGUUUGACUAGCUCUGCGGUGGUUGUUGGUCGUUGGUUGAAGUGCAGAAAAUGUUGCUCGUUACUGAAUACGGGGAUUUGGACCGGAACAAAUUUUGGGCUCUGGCUUAUUUUACACAAAACAUCCUUUGCUAAACUGUUUAGUAAGCCUUUGAACAUUUUUGGGCUUGGAGUUCAACAAGAAAGCAAGUGAAAUACUUAGUUAUUAUUGUCUAAAUGUAAUUUAAUUUCUUGACACAACAACCUAUUGAAAAUAAUAUUUUUUAUUUUUUGUGUAUAGGUUUCACUCGUGAAAUUAAAUUGAAUAUGUUAUUGCUUGUUAUUUAAAUAAAACUUGAGCUGAAACAAAAAUAUUGUAAAUAUAUAAAGAUUUUUUGAGUUUUGAAAUCAAUAUUACUUUAGAUUCAAAAUAUUUUCAAUUAAGAUUAAUUGCUUCAAGUAUUUAUGAAUAUUUAUGGACAAAUUAGCAGUGAAAAUAUUGGUCCUCGCUAACUUUGAGUCACGUUAAUUUUUGAAUCAAGGUCUGAUAUAUUUCUGAUCUAAGAAAUGUUAUAUCCAUCUGGUCAGGUUGCAUAAAAUUUGAUAUGAUUAGUAACAAUGAAAUUUGUGAAAAUGUAUGUAUUGGAACCUCGACUGAACUUGAGAAAGUUGAAGAUUUGCAAGUGUAAAUCAACAUUUCACUUUAAAAAUAUAUCUUCAAAUCAAUAUUAUUUAAAAUUUUACAUAAAAUUUGUAUUUACAGGUAUAUUUACAUUACAAGAAUAAUAAAACAGUACUUCAUGCUCACAAACAGUGUUGUUCACCUUCAUGUUACAAGAGUCGUUUGCACCUACUCUUGAUUUUUCUUGUGAAAAAAAGUUUGUGGUAUUCAAUCAAUAAAUUAUAUAGUUUUUAGGAUGCCGACUUGCCAAGUGAUGUACAUUUUCCCCAAAAUUACUUAAUUAUCAAGAAGGAAGGCGACCUUUUAAACUCAUUGAUUACCACAAUUCUUUUAAAAGAUUUGAGUUUAAUUAUGUACAUAAAACUCUAUAACUAUUCUCUUAUUCCGUUCUUCAAGUGAAAUAUAUGUCCAAACACAACUUCAACUUCUAAAAAUCUUUUUUGAACUACAGUAUUUUUUUUUAAUUUUAAUUUCACUCCAUUCAAUCCAAGUGCCUAUUAAGUCUUUUUUGUUGGACUUUUAUUUGCCCCAAUUUCUUAUCAUAAAUAGAUUUUUCCUUUUAGGAAAAAGUUUUGGAUUGACUAAUCCUUUUUCUGGUAGGAAAAUGUUUAGAAUUCUAUAAAUAGAGACAUGUUCCUUUUAAAUUAAUUAACAUCCACUAUGUAGUCUUAAAGGUUUUGAAAGUUUUGGUUAGGAGGAGAAUUUGUGGAUCACAAGCUUGAUAUGUUAUCACUUGUGUGAACCUCCCAUGUAUUCGUAGUGAAUUGGUUGAGAUUGUUUCUCUCUGUAUUUGUACUUUCAUAUUUAUAAUGGAUUGCUCAUCUCCUUUGUGGACGUAGGUCGAUUGAUCGAACCACGUUAAAUCUUUGUGUUUUUUGAUAUAUUUCUCAUUGCACCUACUUAUUUUCAAUCCUAACAUUUUUAUGGACUAAAACCAGAAAGAAAAGAAGUUGUUAAAAGUUCACUUAAGAAACAGAAGAAGCUAGACCAGAAUUUGCAUGAAAUGUGAGCAAAUAUCAAUAAAGAGCACUCUUUGAAGUUUUCAUUUAUUUUCAAAACUAUAAUGUUUUCAAGUGAGUGCAUCUCAUCUUUUUUAGUUCAAGUUUCUAUUUUCUUAUGUUUGUUUCCCACAUCGGAACCCAAAGCAGCACUCGUACGCAAGUAUUCUGUAAUAAAAGCCAAACACUUACACUGAAUGAAGCAUACCUUUCUCGGCCUUUUGGCUAAGAUCAAGUGUAGUAUCUGUUCUUAUCAGUUUAAUAUCUGAUAUGUGGGUCAUUGGCUCACACGAUAUUAACUCAAUUUUUUAAGGGGAAGGGUCUAUUAAGGUAGCUUGCUGCCUGGGCUCUUGCGCGUCGCCCAUGCGUUGCACUGCUGCACGGGCCUGGCGCACCCCACCAAUUUAAGUUACAAUUUCUUUUGGUCUUUAAUUUCGUUUUGUCUGUGAUUACUGGGGUAAUUUUAAUUCUUAGUACUGUAAAAUACAGUCAUGUUACUCUACUAGUCAAAUACCUUUUUCCCACUUUGUUUUUGGAAAAGCUCCAUCUAUAAGGUAAUUCUACCGAUAGACUUGUAUGGAGGGAGUAUUAGCAUUUGCACAGGAAUGAAUAUAAUGUCCCUUUUGUACAGGAAUGAAUAUUAAUUUGUCAUACUGACAAUGCUCAAUGUCCUCCUUUUGUAAUCCUUUUUGCGUAGAAUCUACUGGUAAGGGUUGUCAUGCCAGCUAUGAAGCAAAUUCUUGCUACAAAAAAACUGCAUCUCAUAUUGACUAUGCUCGUCGGUAUAUAGCAGAAGCCAAAUAACUUUCUAGUCUUUCUCGUAAGCAUACCUUUCUCGGCCUUUUGACUAAAAGAUCAAAGUGUAGUUUAUAUUCUUAUCAGUUUUAUAUUUGAACCAUUGAUUAACACGAGACUAACUUGAUUUUUUGACAGGAUGAGAUCAUUAUGGUGGUUUACUGCCUGGCCUCUUGCGCGUCGCCUAUGCGUUGCACUAUCGCACAGGCCCCGUGGAGGUAUAAUAUUUUGUUGGGCCUUUUCUUUGCCUUUCCUGUUUAGUUUAGUCUAAGUAUUCAAUUACGCGGUUAAGUAAAUUUAUACUACUUAAUUAUUCAUCAGAUUAUACUAUUUAAUUACUCAUAGCUAUAAUUUGCUAUAAUUACCACUCAGGACAAACAUUAUUAUAUUAAUCAUGUGGGCUACUUCGAGUUUGUAUAAUCAACUAUAUUUGUAUAUGUAUAAUUCGCCAGAAUAUACAAAUACAUAUGUAUAAUAUACAAUUAUUUAAUUUAUAUAUUCACAUCUCUCCCACUCUCUGGCCUUUUUUCGCUCGCCUCUCCCCUCGCUCUCCCAGUCUCGCUUGCUUUUUAUACAAAUGCAUAUGUAUACUAUAAUUAUCUAAUCAAUAUAUACAUAUACAUUCACCUCUCUCCCACUCUCUGCCCUCUCCCGCUCCGCCUCUCUCCUCCCUCUUCCAAUCCCGCUCGCCUCUCUCCUCUCUCUCUCAAUCUUUCUUGCCAUAUAUAGAGAUACAUACUAUAAUAUACAAUUAUCUAACCAAUAUACAUAUUCAUUCACCUCUCCCCCUUUUGCCCUCUCUCUCCUCUCUCCUCCCUAUAACAUGUAGUUACGAUUUGUAAUUAUCAAACUAGAAUUAUAAUUAUCAAACUAUAUAUAUGGAGAGUAAUUAGAAUAUUUUUAUGUGGUUAUAUGUAAAAGUUCCCCAUUAUUUAUUAAUGAGAAAAUAGUCAAAAGCCCCUCCCAGCUAUUAUCGAAUUCUCAACUACACACUUAUUCUUCACGGGGUCCUAUUACCCUCCUGAACUUUUUUAAUGUGAAAUAUCCCUACAAACUCACGCCCAGAUUUUUAUUAGGUGGUACUCACCACGCGCUUCUACGUAAGAUUACCCUUUUUUUCAUAUAAAAAAGUAAUUAUUCUUUUAUAUUUUCAUCUCCUCCCUUUUUCUUUCUUUUCCCUUCCUCCAUUUCUUUUUCCUUCCUCCAUUUAUUUUUCUUUGAAGCUUCUGCAAAUUGAUGAGAGGACACCAUGACUAUCAAAACUUCAACCUUCACCAAAAUUCUAGACACUAACAAAUUUCGUUUACUAAAAGUAUAGACAAAUGAAAAAGUCUAUCACUAAAUAUUGCUUCUUCUUUUGAUACUAUCAUGUUUCUCAAAGAUUGAUUCUUCAAAGAAUCACCAGUAAAUGAUACUUGCUUGCCGGGAUAAAGGUACCAAACUUGGAGGGACCAGUAUUGAUUUAGAUUUUAUCAAUGUUUAUAUGAGAAAUUUGAUUUAUAUAUGUACAACAAUUGUAAUAAAUGGCUAAUGAUGAAUUCUUCUCCAUUAAUUGAAUCUAUUACAUAGUGAACUCCUCCAUUAAUACUAGUCUAAAGUUAAAUUCUCUUGAUUUUGAUUUUGAGCUACCAACAAAUUUUUAAAGUGAUGAAAAGUAGAGAUAGAAAAGUAUGUGAUUUGGUGAUGAGAUUGACUUAAUGACGAAAACCUAAUGAGAGCGGUAACCUGGUAGCCGAGUUGAGCCACCGCCGUUGUCUAAUCUGAUGAUGAAGAUUGAAGGGAAGAGAUAAAGAAGGUAAAAAAUAAAUAAAAAGAAACAUAUUUUUAAUUAAAAAAUAGAAUAUUAAUAUGAAAUAAAGUUAAUAUUUUAAUUAUCUUUUUAUCUCUCACUCUCACUAUCCCAAAGAGAGCGAACUACACCUUUGCCACAUUAGCUUUUAGGAGCAAAUAACUCCAUUUUUAAAAUAGUUUAGGAGUAUAAUUAAAUCCUCGUAAAGUAUAAAUAUAUAGCUAGGAAAUCGAGUAUAAAUUGGAGGACUUUUGACUAUUUUCUCUUUUAUAAAUUGAAUGAAGUAAUGCACAGAAUUUGUAAUUACGUGUUUGACCAAAUUCCUGAAUGUAUUAUGGGCUAGUUUGUGAGAAGUAGAAAAUUGAGAAUCUAAAUUAAGUGUUAGAUACGUCAUGUUCUAACAUUUUUUAGUAAUUGGGGUAGUAAAUUACCAUAGUUGGCACCUGUAUAUAAAUCAUAGUAAUUGGGGGUAGUAAAUACUACCAUAAUUGGCACCUGUAUAUAAAUAAAUCUUAGUAAUUUGGUUAGUAAAUACCAUAAUUGGUACCUGUAUAUAUUAUUAUCCAAUAAGAGAAAAUAUCGUAUCUGACCUCUCCUAUUAAAAACUAUUAAAUAAAUUAGGCAUCCCUAAAUACAAAUUGAUCAAGUCUAGAUAACUGCAUUUAUAAUCUUCAAUAUCCUUAUAACGAAAUUCCUAAGCCACUUAACGGGUUUUUGGUUCAGUUUCAGUCUUUUCUUUUUUUCUUUUUGGAAUUUCAGUUUUUUGAUUUAGUAUAAUGGUGCUCUUCCAUGUAUCUAAAAAUCAAUUUUUAUUAUUUAGAAAAUAUUUUAAAUCUAAAUUCACCUUUUAAUCCAUUUUGUUACUCUCUUUACUCUUUAGUUGCCACAAAUUAAAUCAGAAUUUUUUUUAAAAAAAAUCAAAAUUUCAUCUAAUACAAAAACGUUGUAUGUUAUUGAUGUAUGUUUGGUCAAUAAAUAGUUUGGUCUAAAAUUAAAAAAAAUUGGUCCUUAUACUUUGAUAAUGUGGUGCUCAUUUUAUUUUUCAUUUGCACUUACAAAAAUAUUUUAAAAUCAACGAAUUAAAUCAUAUCGAAGCGAGAAAAAAUCAAACCCAACUUAUUUGAUUCGAUAUUUACUAUUUGCUUUUGAAAAUUAAAAAAUUAAAUUUUUUAAUACAGUAAAAAAAGCUAUCGAAUUUAUUCGGACCGAUAAAUUGUUAGAAGAAUCUUUAACAAGACAUUUUAUUACUGAUUAUGAAUAUGACAAUAUGUAACUGAUCGAGAGGUGAAUAAUAAUAUUAAGGACAUUGAAAAGUGUGCUUGUGGAUAAAAGGAGGUUAGACUAGAGAUAAAUUAAAAAAAAAAAAAAGUAGGUCCAUUUGGAACUUAUCCAACCAUAGAAUAAUCCAAGUCACUCUCACAUCAUUAUCUGAAUUAUUACAAGUUGUGCAAAAUUGGGAUUCACAUACAUAAUUCUUCUUUACGUGUCUAUCUAUCCAUACACUUGAAAAAAAACCCUCCUGUCUUCACCCAUAAAUAUCAAUCUCCCUUUCAUUUCUCACCAUCAAACAAAAUAAUUGAACAACUUCCACAGGAACAAACAAUCAUGAGAACUAUUUCCCUUCAUUCAACCUCAUUUUCACUUGUUGAGUUCCAUGGUACCAAGAAUUUGGCACAAAGGUAUAUUUAUAUGCAUUGAAAAUUUUCGAUUGAGUUCAUUUUUUCUUCUUCUUCCAAUGGGUGUUUCUUUUAACUCUGUUUUGUGAUUUGAAUGCUACUAGCAGCAGGAUCAAUAGAUCGGUUUCGUUGAUUCCAAUGGCGAGGUCUCAAUUUCAGCCUAAAAUAAGACGUGACAUUGGUACUAGCAAUAGAAAUCCAAGUUUUAGGUGGGUUUUUGAGUAUAUCCCCUGUUUUUGUGUUAUUUCUCUGUUUUUGGCUUUAAAAUGGGUGUUUGAACAAACAAUUUUUGUAGCUGGAUGGCAACAGUUGGAGAGAAAGUGCACAACUCCACGGUUCCUACUUCUGUUCCUGUUCGAGUUGCACUUGAAUUGCUUCAAGCUGGCCAUCGUUAUUUAGAUGUCAGGUAAUGCAAUUUAUGUAAACAAAAAAUAUGCCCUUUAAAUAUUUAUACUAUUUCUUGCAAUAUAUGAUCAGAACAAUUUAAUUUUUUAUCAAUCGUUUGUAUGGAAGAUUCAAUAUUUUAAACAUUUUUUUUUGCGCAGAACUACUGAGGAGUACAAUGAUGGGCAUGCUGCUGGAGCCAUAAACAUUCCUUACAUGCUUAGAAUUGGCUCAGGUUUGAUUAUUAGUAAUUUAAUACUACUCCCUUUUUCUGAGUACUCGAUGUUAACAAUAUUUAAGUUUUUCAAAUAUUUUUUUUACCAGUGUCCUCCUUAUGAUGCAUGAUAGAUUUUUUUUUAAGUGUCAUCGAGUUCUCAAAAAUUGAAAUGGUGGCAAUUAUUAUGCCUGGUUUCUACUUUCUGGGUGUCGAAUGUUUACAUGUAAAAUGUAUUUUGUUCAUCUUACUUCUCUUUCAAUUUUCUUACUUGCUCAUAAACGGAGGGUUAUUUAAUUUUAUACACAUGACUCUGUUACAAUUCUCUGGUACCAUUUUUAUUUCUUUGAAAAUAUUUUGGCAACUUAGCAAACAUAAAUCAUACAGAACUAGAGUUUUAGACCAACUUAAAGAACACUGUAUUGUUUGGUGGUGUACAUAAGAGUGAUUUUUGGUUAGUCUUUGAAGAUAAGUUUUUCAAGUAUCUUUUUUCCUUCUUACGAAAAUGAUUAUUUUUUUUUCGAGUGAAUUGCAUGUUUGAACACAAUUUUAACUUUCAAAUAACCCUUUUUUAACUUCAACUUUAGAUACUAUAUUUUCUAGACCAGAAUUUGCAUGAAAUGUGUUCAAUUAUGAACAAAGAGUACUCUCUGAAGUAGUACUCUGAAGUUUUAUUGUUUUUCACGGUGAUGUUUUAUGCUACUGCAUCAAGUUUCUGUUCUUCUUUGAGUGGUAUAUUAGUUUCCCACAUCGGAACCCAAAGCAGGACUCGUACGCAAGUGUUGUGUAAUAAAAGCCAAACACUUACUCAGUAAUAGGCAUACCUUUCUCGGCCUUUUGGCUAAGAUCAAGUGUAGUAUCUGUUCUUAUCAGUUUAAUAUCUGAUAUGUGGGCCAUUGGCUCACACGAUAUUAACUUAAUUUUUUACGGGGAAGGGUCCAUUAAGGUAGCUUGCUGCCUGGGCUCUUGCGCGUCGCCCAUGCGUUGCACUGCUGCACGGGCCUGGCGCACCCCACCAAUUCAAGUUCAACUUUCUGAUUGUGUUUUUCAUAGUUUUUCUGUACUUUUUCUACCCUAGAUGCAUAAUCCCAGCA